This 60394-nucleotide long non-coding RNA is filed under the name Citrus sinensis (sweet orange). RNAcentral describes it as "long non-coding RNA (CSIN_LNC000529)". The stretch from base 54388 to 54468 matches the Rfam family "tRNA". The record is from RNAcentral. Lineage: Eukaryota; Viridiplantae; Streptophyta; Magnoliopsida; Sapindales; Rutaceae.
UGAGAAUGAGGUUUUGUGUGUUUCUAAGUGUCUUCAAGAAAGAAAUACCAAAUACAUGUGUGACUAUUUGUAUUUCACUAGCUUCAAUUUUUAAUUUUCAUUAAUUAAUUUAUUUUUUAUUUUAAAGCCAAAAAUCCAUUGAAAUGGAUUUUGUUAAGAAUUCGAUCCGAUUCGAACCCAGUGUUGGAUCGGUUUUUAUUGGGCCCGGUCCUAGUGGAAGCCAUUAGCCUGCCACGCAAGUUCAGCUGAUAAUAUAAUUUGGGUUUUACUAAUUACUACUCUCCAGUCUCUACUCUCUACUUUUACUUGGGCGAGACAGCUUAAGCUUGCUUACAGCUGCCACAUUUUAAAAUUAAAAAUAAUUUUUUUUAAUUUGUAAAACCUGUUCUUUAAUUUUUUUUAAUUACUUUCUAAAAUCACCUGUUAAAAGUUCAAUCGCACCUUGACCGCUUGACGCUUGUAGCUUGGAAAUUCGGUUCACACGAGUGAUUAAAAAAAAUGGAAAUUUAAAUAAAAGAAUAUGAUUUUAUAAUUUAUAAAUGACUGCUGCGUCAAUUAUGAUUCAAAUAUUAAAAAUUUAUUAAAAUUGUAUCGCUAUUUCUGAGACAAUUUAGAAAAAAAUAGAACCAAAAUUUUUUUUCAUGUAAAAAAAAAGUCUCAUAGAGACGUUAUUACCCCCUGCAUAAUCAAAAUGAAACUCAUUAAACAAGCAUGUGCACUAUCGUAAUAAGGUCCAAGCACAAUACCAUAAAUUGAAGCACAGACUGUCACCUGAAUUCGUAAAUCAAAUCCUCCUCCUCACUUGCGCACUUCUUACAAAACUCACAGUGACACACUCCACUUUCUCUCUCAGAACCAUGAGACCACCCCUGCCAUUCUUCUUCCUCCUCCUUAUCCUCCUCACCACCGCCACCAUAACCACCGUAACCUCCUCAGGCACCACUAAACCAACCAAAACUCUCCCUCCCGCUUCAGCCCCCACCUCUUCUCCAACCCCACGCACACGCACACCCACACCCACGCCAGUAGCUUCCUCACAUCCUUCUCCUUUAGACCCAAAACAAAUAAGAGCUCUCCAAUCUCUCAACAUUCCCUCAAAAAGCGCUUGCUCUCUUUACAAAUGCGACUCCUCAAAACCCUUCAGCCACCUCCUCUCUCUCCGUCUCUCCAACUGUUCAGAUGACAUCUCACUUUCCUCCACAGCUCUCAAAUCUCUCUCUACUCUCCAAAAUCUGACCUUUUUCAACUGCCCUAUCGCUCCCAUUCAUUUUCCAAAUGACCUUUCUCUUUCACUUCUUUCCUUUUCUUGCAUUCACUCGCUUCACCACCUCUCCGGUGUCUUUCUUUCUCGCUUUGUCAACCUUACAGAUCUUACUGUUACUAAUGUCCCUGUAAAUGCUAGUGGCCUCUAUGUCAUAAUUGGUAACAUGCACAAGCUGAGAUCAGUCACCAUUUCUAAUGCCAACGUCACUGGUUAUAUUCCAAAGCACCUGCAUUCGAACCUCACCCAUGUUGAUUUUUCAGGUAAUCAGCUCAAAGGAAAGAUACCCACUUCAAUUACUCUUCUUGAGAAUCUUCAACACUUGAAUCUUUCUUCAAAUGGGCUGAAUGGAGAGAUACCCUCUUCCAUUGGUGACUUGAUUGCGUUAAAAAAUGUGUCUUUGGCUUCCAAUUCGUUAUCUGGGUCGGUUCCUGAGUCAAUGGCAUCACUCACAGACAUGGUUCAUCUUGAUCUGAGUUCAAAUCAGUUGAAUGGGACGAUACCCAGGUUCUUUUCUGAUUUGAAGAAGCUAAGGUACUUGAAUCUUCAGAACAACAAUUUUCAUGGUGUUUUGCCGUUUAAUGCUUCUAUUUUAGAGAAAUUGCAAGUGUUUAAGGUUGGUGGGAAUACCAAUUUGUGUUACAAUCAUACGGUUUUGUCGUCAAAAUUGAAGCUUGGGAUUGCUCCUUGCGAUAAGCAUGGACUGCCAAUAUCCCCGCCACCAGCUAAGGAUAACUCUUCAGAUGAUAGUGAAAAUGAUUCGUCGGAUGAUGACGAUAGUGAUGAUGAUUCCAGCCAGAAGGAGCACCAUCACGGGCCAAAUAAGGUUGUUCUUGGUCUUGCAAUUGGGCUUUCCUCUAUUGUCUUUCUCAUUGUUUUUGUUGUUCUUCUCUCGAAAUGGUGUGGUUAAAGGAACGAUGGGGAUAUAUCAUUGAUUGAUUGGUUAGAUUUUAGAUUAGGAAAUAUUGGUGAUUAGAAGUGAGAUUCCUAAUGAUUUAUUAUUGUAUUCAUUGAAUUAUUAAGGAUCGUAGAGGGGAAUUUGGGAAAGUAGAAAAGAGACCCAGGAAUCAUUGAAUUAGUGUGUUCAAACUUUUUAUGCUUUGAUCACGAUAUGAGGAAGGAUCGGCGGUUUCGUCCUUUUGCUGUUGAUUUUUGUCACUAUUGUUUGUAUUGUUAGAAGCUAAAGAGGGGUAAAGUGUUUUCCCUUACAGCAUAAGAUAAUUGUGCAUUUUUCUUGAGGUACAAGCAUUCAGUUGUUCGUGCUUUUCAUUUAUUCAGCCUCCCUGUCCAUCUUAUGUGCUUAACUUGAGAUUAAUUUGUUUGCUAUAAUAAUAAUAAAGCCAACUUUGGAAACACUUUGUUCUCAUCCUGUUUGCUUUUACUUGGAUGCGGUUUGUUAUUCAUCUCUGUCCAAGCAGUAGUAAAACAUAAAACAAAAAAGCUCACACAGGGAUUCAUUUUCACCGCAUUUCUCUUUCAAUACUAUUCUUUCAUAUGACGGGGAUUAAAAAGAGAACAAAUAUUUAGUAGGUUUGGUGGACUGAAUUGAUUGCAGACUGUUGUGGAGGUAAAAUAGUUGAUAGUGCCACUUGACCAAACUCUUCUGAGCUCUCUCUAUUGAACACCACAUAUCUGAACAGAUGGAAUUUGUUAAUCCUCAUCGUAGUACAGAACAUGUUUGCUGCUAUCCAUCUAUUGCUUUUCUAAUUUCUAUCAAAAUCUGCUGCGAGGACUAUAUCUUGAAUUGAAUUGUCUCUUGAUGAUUUAUCAUUUAUGGCUGAAAAUUGUUUGAAAGUCAUUAUGGAUGCAUUUGGCAGCUCACAUUAUGCCGCAUUGUUUGGUGUUAAAGUAUUGCUCUUAUGCUGACCCAUAUUUGGCUGUAAUUUUUAGUAGUAUUUAAAAAGAUGGUUAACGUAAUGAAAGGUGUAUAAAAUAAACUUAUGAGGGAGUAGAGUUUAGGUUGUAUUAUGUUUAGAUAAUAUUCAUAUUGUAAACAUAAUCAUUUAACGUUUAUUACUCGUAAAUUAUAACAAAUGAUUUGAGGCUAAGCACAUAUAUAGUAAAUCUAUAUUUAUUUAAUAUUAAUUUAUAUUUAUAUUUAAAUAAAAAUUUAAUUUAAAUAAUAAUAUAAAAUAUUAAUAAACCUUAAACCUGAAUAUCUAAUAAAUAAAUAAUAAUACAUUAUUUUGCUUUCAUUAGAUAGAAUCAUUUUAAUUAUUUUACUUUAAAUAUGUAUAAAGUAUUUAAUUUUAUUUAAUCAUUUAUUAUUUACUAAAAUACUAAAUUUAAAUUAAACAACUUUGUUCGAUGUUAAUAAAUAAAAAUAAAUUGUAAUUUAAUAUUAUAUUAUAUACUUAUAUAAUAGUAUAUUUUGACCAUAUAAUAUUAAAUUACAAUAUAUUAUGAUAACUAAUAUAUAGAAAUAAAUUAUGUAAAAAUAUAAUUUAUUAAUAAUGUUAUAGCAUUUUAUUGUUUAAUAAUAGUAUAUUAUUAAUUUUUAUAUUAUAAAAUAAUUAUUUAAUAAUUAAUAAUUAAAAUCGUAAGUACUAAUAAAUUUAAAUAAUAUUAGUUUAAUUUUAAUAUUAAUAUAAAAUAGUAUUACUUUAUAUAAUAUAGUCUAUACUACACCGAAUUACAGUACAACAUAAUAUAAUGCAUCAUAAUGCAAUACACUCAAUACAAAAAAAAAAAGAAAAAUGUAAUGUAAUCAGUUACGAAGUCAUGUUCGGUUACACAAAUAGUUAGGGACAUUAGUGAUGGCUUCUAUGCCAUUAGUUGUGUAAUUAUGAUCUAAUUAUAUAGGGAUGAAAAUGGAAGCCAAGUCGGUGAUGUUUGAUGAAUCUGUAAUUGGGAAUUUUUUUACGAAAAAAAUGAAAUUGAUGUUGUAGGACAAAUCCUUGGAUGGUUGGAUCCAGCUGCCACUUCGCUAUAGAAAUUGGAUGUUGAGGUUCUGUGGGGCUUUGGUUUCCAAAAUGGACCACCCCCAUGUCGAUGAAUUUCCAAUUUCAUAAUCUUUUUUCUUCCCUAUUUACCUCAAUCUUAUUGCACACGAGUUUCUAAGAAGAUUAAUGAUAGACAUCUUAAAUUUUUUUUUUUUAUCUAAAAUAAUAUGUUAUUUAUUAAGUAAUUUUUUAUAAGUUCUAAGUGAGUUAAUUAUAUUAUCUUCACUAACCAAUUGAUGAAUGACACAUCAUUUAUGACAACUUUUUGAGCUAAAUAAUUUAAGAUGUGUAGCACUACUCUUCUAAGAAUUAUACAAACUCUGUGGUGCUAUUGAGAUUUGAGACCAACCACUUCCUUCACACUGUACUAUCGUAUCCUUCAAAUUACCGGAAUUUCAAUUGUGAAAUUGGUGUCACUGUGUAUUGAAUACAAACAGUUGAUAACAAUAAAAGAAUGGCGUCACAAGUNNNNNNNNNNNNNNNNNNNNNNNNNNNNNNNNNNNNCCCCCCCACAACAAAAAAAAAAAAGGGGGUUCUCCGUAGGCUAUAAUUUCGUAAUGCUAUUGUUUAUUGGGUAAUUGCACCUUGCACAUGGUUUAUUUAUUAUUGUCUGUCGCCCACAAUUGGACGGAAAUAAAGCGGAAACCAUAAACGACAGAUGCACCCUGAAUCCCUUUGCUUAAUCCAUGCCAGCUUUUAGAUAGGCAAGCCUAAAAGCAUUUUUCAGAGGAGGUAAAGUAAAUUGCCAUUGGAUCCAUGUUAAAAUAAUAAAGAUAUUUACAAUAAACAGAUAAAUAAGUGAUGAUAAUCAUUGCCAUCUCCUUGACGCUUCAGAAAUAGCACCGACUGAGCUUAAUAGAUUUAGGAAUAAAGGGGUAGUUAUCAUGAGAGUAAAUAAAGAAAAUGGAGAAGAAAGAAUGCUGGGUGCUGAGAUUAACAUUUUUAUAAUCUUGCCACAACCAUGCUUUUACCUUAUAAAAGAUACAAGAUCGUGCGGUACUUCAUGCUAGGAGUGACCAAACCAAAUAAUGAUGAGUGCACAAAAAAAUAGCAUAUUAUUACUAGAAAAAGAAAUUAAAAACAUGACAAAAAAAUUAACUACAACAUAUGAAUUUUUCAUAUUUUGCGACUUUUGUACUAAAAUAAGGUACAUAUAUCAUUAUUCACUCGAACUCUCUACAAUGGCUGGCCUUAGAAAGAGAUGGGGACUGGGGGAAAAAGAAAGAAAAUGUUAUAUAAGGAUGCCUUAGGAAGCCACCUGAAAGAAAAAUAAUUGACUUCUACCGGUCUCAAGAAUGAUUAGAAAGUACAACAAAAAUACCCAGAUCUAAAUCCGAGUAACUUCUGUUACAAAAAGCUACUUUUACGUGGUGUUUAUUUAGAGUGGGAUCGAGGGAGUGUGGACUCCUUCCAGUGCCUUGGAGUAUUUAUUUGCUCAUUUUAAAAGAAGAGUGGUAGUCUCACUCUAUGGGUUUCACUCAUUUUUUAAGUGAGAAUUAAAAUUUCCAUUUCCAUUUCCAUUCAAACUCUCACCACUUCUUUUUUAACUCUUCUUUUAUUAAAUAUAAUAUAAUUUAUAUUUAUUAAAAUAUACAUUUACUUUAAAAUAAUAAUACUAUAUUUAUUUAUUUAAUAUUAUUAUAUUAUUUAAAUAUAAUAUUAUUAUAUUUAUUUAAUAUUAAUAGUAUUGUAUUUAUUUAAUAUUAAUAAUUAAUAAUAAUAAAUAGUUUACUCUAAAAAAAUUAGUAUAUGCUUUACAUAAUUAAGAAUAUUAGUAAUAAUUAUUAAUUUAUAAAUUUAUCAUAAAAUAAAUAAUUCAUUUUACAUAUAUAUAUUUUUUAUUCACUUUGUAAUUAAAAACUAUAAUUCUUUAAAUAAUACUAAAAUUAUAAUUUGAGACAAUUCACUUUCAAUUCAAGACAAUGUAAACACAAAAAUAAGAUUCUAAUUCUUAUUCCAAACUCUCAUUUCAGUGUGAGUAAGCAACUUAUUCACACUCUUACUCCACGCUCCUAAUCUCAGAAUUCUAACUUCUCAGAAUUUUCAAUCCAAUGCAAGAAGUAAAUGGUACCUUAGAUUGGCAAUGAGAUAUUAACGACCGCCUUUGAGUUACAUAGUUGGAUUACAGAACAGUUUGAGACUGUAAAUUAGUAUAUGCUUCCCUACCGUACCACGUGAGUCCUAACUCUUCAAACUUUUAUCACUGAUAAGCUAAUUGGUCAAAGAAUCGUAGUAUACAAUAAUCUAACUAAAUGGUUUCUGAAGACCAACUUAUGAACGGGUAGGAAUCCUCAAAUAUAUCUAAUGAGUUCCUUCAUAUGGCCCAUCUGAUUCACCAGAAGCCUCUGCAAGAACAACGCCCAUCCUUAAAAUGGUGAAAACGAUUAGAAUCCCUCAAGACAAUCUCCCUCCGAGCAGUCUUCGACAUAAACUUGGCCAUCUCAUGACAGUCACCGCAUACUCUCAGAUUCUUGGUGACUCUAAUGGUUUGGCCUGCCGGCAAGUUCAGGAUCCCGAAAGCCAUGGCUAAUUUCUCACUGUGCCCACAGAGAGCCACCUCCUUUUCCAUUUCAUCUGCAUUAAUCAAAGCAUAGCGAGUUUUAGGAAAAUAACCUUCCCUCUUCAUCUCUAGUCUUAACCUCUUCAAAAGAGACUCUAUUUUUUUGGCAUGCGGAUGAGAACUACCUCCUGCAACAAAGAUAUUUACUUUGCCCUUGAUCUCUAUCCAACUACAGCCCGGGUUCUUUUUCAAGCCCCGUCGGCUAAUUUUCUCCCUCAACUUUUUCACUUCUUCCCACUUUUCAGCCUCUGCAUAGACAUUGGCUAAAAGUACAUAGUACCCUGUGUUGUCCGGCUCCAGCUCAAAAACAUGUUCUGCAACUUUCUCUGCUAAUUUAACCUCAUGGUGAAUUCUGCACCCACAGAGUAAAGAUCCCCAGAUUGUGGCAUCUGGUGCAACAGGCAUCAUUUCAAUGAAUCUAUAUGCUUCUGAAAGGUUGCCAGUCCUGGAAAGAAGAUCAACCAUACAAGCAUAAUGUUCCAACUUGGGCUCGAUGUUGCAUUCGUAUCGCAUCAUAUUAAAGAAUCUCCAUCCUUCAUCAACUAAUCCAGAAUGACUGCAAGCAUACAAUACAGAAAUGAAGGAAACCUCAUCAGGCUCAAUACCUGCCUGUCUCAUAUCAUUAAAGGUAGCAAUAGCGUCACAACCAAACCCAUGCAUACCAUACCCAGCAAUCAUAAUUGUCCACGAGAUAAGAUCCUUUGCAGGAAUCAUAUCAAAGAGUGAACGUGCAAGCACUAAUACCCCACACUUCACAUACAUGUCUACAAUUGCAUUGGCAACAUUUCUAUCCGCUGAAAUUCCAUGUCUUAAUAUGUAACCAUGAAUCUCUCGGCCUCUCUCUAAAGCAGCCAGACUGGCACAAGCAGGAAGAAUGCAUGCCAUCGUUACACCAUCAGGUUCAAAAUUUUGAAGCAUUGCAACAAACAAAUCCAGAGCUUCAUUAGGACAACUAUUUUUUGAGUAACCCCCAAUCAUGGUAUUCCAUGAGACAAUAUCCUUUACAGGCAUCUGAUUAAAAACUGAUUCAGCAUCUGCCAUGCUUCCACAUUUGGCAUACAUGUCCAUAAGAGCAUUAGACACAUACAAACUUGAUUGCAUAUCAUUUUCCUUUAUGUAAUCAUGCACAUCCUUACCAAUUUCCAAUAGGCCAUCACAAGCACAAGCAUGAAGAAUGCUUGUUAUAGCAUAAACAUCUGGCUCAAUACCCUCCCUUACCAUUCCACGAAACAAUCUGAUAGCCCCAUCAAAUACUCCUUCGCGAGCAUAACCUGCUAUCAUGGAAGUCCAUGACACAACACUUCUCUCUCCCAUUUUCUCAAAAACCCGAAUUGCACCAUCUAAAUCUCCACAUUUCGAAUACAUAUCCAACAAAGUAUUAUUAAAGCUGAUUUCUUUAGAAAAACAUGCUUUCAAUGCAAAAGCAUGAACUGCUCGACCGAACAUAAGAGCGCCACAAUUGGCACAACCUGAAAGAACAGUAACCAUUGUAGCCAAAUCCACAUUGAAACCCAAAUUUAACAUCUCUUUGAAAACCUCAAGUCCCUUCUCAGCCACACCGUUGGCUAUAUACCCACUUAUCAUACAAUUCCAUGAUACAACAUCUCGAUCACUCAAUUCAUCGAACAAUUUAUGUGCGUCCUUAACUCUUCUACUCUUGAAAUAAUAAGUAAUCAAAGAGUUCAAAACUGUGUUAUUACAUCCAAAACCUAAUUUUAACAUAAAUCCAUGAACCGAUUCACCUUCUUUUACAUUUCCUACAACUGCAAGACACUUCAAAACACAAGAAAAUGUAUAAGAAUCCGCUGCAAUUCCCAAACUUUGCAUCUUCUUGAACAAAUAUAAACUUUCUUUAAAAUUUCCAGUUUUUGAAUACUCGUGCAUCAAUAGAUUCCAAAUGAAAACCUUUCCAUUAUCAAUCUUAUUGAAAACCCUUCUCCCUUCUUUUAAAUCCCCACAAGUAACAAACAUAAACACAAGUUUUGAACCCAAAACACCAUCGUCAAUUACAAUGCCACUUUCACAAAUAAUUGAGUGAACCUUUUUACCAUCUUCUAAUGACUUGAGGUCAGCACAAAGCUGUAAAAUGGAACAGUAAGUUUUUGUGUCAAUUUUAGAUUUUUCAGAGCUGUAAAGUACUUCCAUGGCCUUUUCAAGAUUACCCACUUCACAAAACCUGCCGAUUUCAGCAUUGUAAUUUUUAGUUUUGCAAACGAGGGUUUUGGAAAUCGAGGCAGAAAUGGGGUUUAUUGUGCAAGAACUGUGCGACUUUGAUGAAACGAUGAUUGGUAAUGUAGAUGGCUUAUAGCUGGCAAAUUUUUUUCCAUAACUUUGAUUAGGUGGAGAGAAAAAUAAGAAGUUCGUAGUGAUUUUGGCCAUGAAAAUCUGCAUUUUCUUUUACGCUGCAGGAAUUUGAUUAAGCAAUAAGCAUAGAUGUGGUAAGUAAAACAACGGCCAAAGACAUUUGGCGGUGGCGGGACGAAAAUGCAAACUAUAGAGACUUUUGCUUUGAUAGUUUGAUUCUCUCAGACUUCCAGUCCUUUCCCACACAUUAAUGCAUAUGUGGGCGAGAGCCGGUAACACAUCCCGUAACUCUAUCAUUUGUUGUCAGGACUCAGGAAUUGAUGGCACUGUUAGAGGAAUGAAUGAAUAUAUAUAUAUAUUUCACUAUUUUUUUAGAUUACAGGGAGUUUUUUGAUAAUUCUCGCAACUUAAUUAGUAUUUUACAGCAGGUAUGUCACGUGUCGUGCACGAGCUUUUCAAAGUUGUGGACCAACUAUUUAUUUGUUAUUUUUUUCCCUACCAACGAAACUAUAUGCAGUUUGUAGUGCAAAGAUAUUUUCCCUGUUAAUGAAAUUGUCAAAAUCCCUCUUGUUUCCUGAAAACUGCUUAAGCUAAUUAUACCUGUCUGAAUCAUCUCCGAUUUUCCAGGAGACUUAGAUGGAUGCAACUUCUUUUUAUCCUCAACCUAUGUUGUCUCUCAACAAACAGCUGAAGCCAGGAACUCCCGUUUUGUCCCUAAGAGGUAUUAAAUCAUCCCUUUUCCGAUUAUGAAAAUGCCCAUCACUUUGAAUUGCGUGGACUUUUCUUAGUGCUCGAAGUUUAAGUCUUUAUUUGGGAUGUUUUGCAUUUUCACUUGAACUGUUGGCUUAAUCACUUAGUUGCUGAUGUAUGCCAUUAAUUAGUGGUUCCUGUAAUAAUGUUGUUCUUAUUACUUAUUGCCUUGGGUUGUAGUCUGGUAACAGCUUGUCGAUGUGUUGAAUUAAACUACAGACUUGAGAGGUCAUUCUUUGAUGCAGCUUCUUGAAUUUGACAGCGAUUGCAGAUUGGCCUUCCCCUUUUGGCAUCCAAAAGAGCCCAUUUAAAUUUACUUAUUUAAGCAUAAGAGCUGAUGGAAGUAGAGGAGACCGACCACCCCUGAAUGGUUAUGCUGCUGGAAGAACCAAGAAUGGGGACGGAAAUGAAUCAUCUCAAUCAUCUGAUGGUAAGGUAUCGAGCUCAUCUAACAACGAAGCGAUAAUUUCUCUGUUCGGACGGAUUAAAUCUUCAAUCUCAAAGAGAGAGGCUAUACGCACAAAGAAAAGAAAUCCCAGCUCAUCUGACAAGCCCAAAGUUCAAUCAGUUCCAGAUGUUCUUCUCCAGCCACGAAAGGAAGUAAAAGGUACUGCAGUCUUGUGUUACAUUUUUAGUUAUGGAAAAGACUAGCAUAAAUUUAACUUCAUGAAGUAUUCUUACUAGGAUUUUGGAAUGUCCUUAGUUGUCCAAUUCUUUGGUUUGCCACAGUUGCCAUAGGAAUAAAACAUGUGACUUGUUGCUUUUUUUUGUUAACAGAACAAUAAUAAUAAAAAAAAAGAGAAUAGAGAUGGUUCUUAGAAAAUCUAUCUUGAAUUUGCUACUCUUGGAUAUUUAAAAGGCAUCAGUUUGAAAAGAAUGAGAAAAGGAAUAAGUAGUAUCGCCAGUACAACUUCGAUUCACUUUUUGACCAUGGCAACAUCAUCACACAACUAGUACCACUUUCAUUCUGGACAACACGAAUUCCGAAACUAUUAACUUUCUAGGCAGAAUGAGUUAGAGUUUCAAUUGUUUAUUGCAAUGUUCAGUUUGAUUUGGUAUGUAAUUAAAGUUAACUUAUUUUGCACUAUCAUUAUGUCUAAUUCAAAAUACUUGCAGUGACAGACACACAUUCAAUGAAGGAUGUGCCCAAGGAAGAGCAGAAAAUACAGAAUAACGAACCAGUCACAGACACCAAGUUAACUCGGUUGCCAUCUAAUUUUGUCAAGAGGUCUCCCAUACCAUCUCCAUCAGCCCCUAGAGAUAAAAGAGUUUUGAACUAUGAACCAUCGGCAAACAAAGAAAGCACCAGGCAGCUAGAGUUGCCAAGGGUAGAGGAAUUGAAGCUUCCCCAGCUUAAAGAACUAGCAAAGGCUAGAGGGAUCAAAGGUUACUCGAGGAUGAAAAAAAGUGAGCUCAUUAAGAAGUUGAGAUCUUGAAAGACCAUUGAACAUACCCGAAUUAUCAACAUACUUGCAUGUUUCUAAGCAUACCUGAAUUAUCAACAUACUUACAACACUGAAACGUGCUUCAAAAAUAUGCGUUUUAUACAAGAGAUGUAUUCCCACUGACUGCCAUUAUUGAAUGGUCUUUAUGUUGUUGUUUCAGCUGGCCUAUGUAGAUUCCAAUUAUUUUGAGCUUCGCCCUCCUAAGCAGUCGCGUGUACAAUUGUCCAUGUUGUCUUUAUAUUUAAAUGACAGCACAUGAAAAUUUAUUAGUGCAAAGAGUUUUAUUGUUAAGGAUUUUAGCAACAGGUGGUAGAAUGCUACCGCUGAUGAUAAACAAGCCAUUUGCAAUAACAGGUCAGCGUACAGGGUAAAAGAACUUAAAUGAAAUUUUCAAAAGAAAAAUAAUUGCCUUUACCAUUAUUCUAAUAAAAGAACAGGGCAACCACGGCAAAUUGUGCUUAAAAAAAUCCACCAACUCAAAACUCCAAAGGAAAAUAUAGAUUCUAAUAAACAAAAAUCGGGCAGCUGCCCAAAACUUAAGGGAAAAAAAAAACUCAACAGGUUUCAAAGAUCGCCUUAAGCACCAAUGUUUUGGGACUUGUUAAGGAUAACUCCUUCAUAUUUCACUUGAAACCAUUUCAUGGCAUCCUCCUUUGUAACUCUAUGUUGGAUGCCAACGCGAGACUUGCAUCUGCGGCGACGACCAACACGGUAUCCAGGGCGUUCAAGGACAACAAAGAAGUCCAUGCCAUAAAUACCUGUGGAAGGGUCAUACCUAAUAAGGGAAAAUAACCACCAACAGUUAGCUCAACAUAAACUCAUUUACUGGAUAGAUUAAUUAAAAAAAAAUAUUACUUCUAAAAUCACCCUUCUUACAAGAAAAUACAUAAUUAAAUAAAAUAUAAAGGAAGAAACAGAGACAGACUGCAUUAAUAAAAUUUGGUGUAUAAUACAUAUAGGAAAGAAAGUAUCUUUUUGUUCCAUAGGUAACUCUGGUACGAACCUAGCGCUUGCUAUUAAUUCCGGGAAAAAAAAUAUUUUAAUCAGAUAUGACCCUUAAAUAAAGCAAGUUGGCAUCAACCCCACACUGAGCGAAUAACUUUUGCUUCUCAAACAGAGGCAUCAAUUUCAAAUACCAAUUCUUAGACUCACUCCACACGAGCAUACUGAAAGCCAACCCAACAUUUGGUUGACUCGUAUCAAGAGUUAGGCAGCCAAUGUUGUGUGUACAACAGCAUCACAAUACAGCAUGCUAGGAACACAUGAAAGUAAAGUAACUAUUCAAUUAACCUUGGCUUGACUUCUCAAGCUACCAAUGAGUUCAAUUUUUUUUUAAAAAGCUCAUAAACUAAAAUACUAACAUAAAACAUAAUGAUAAUAUCGAUAAUAAUAAGAUUGGAAUAAAAUGUCAACGGUCAUUGAGUCAAGAAACAAACUUGAUUCCGAGAUCGAUGUGCUCCUGAAUGCCAAAGCCGAAGCAGCCGGUAUCGCUGAAGUUACGCCGCAGGAGCUCGUACUCCUUGACCUUCAAACCGCUCUCCAGAAGCUGCAUUGCCUUGUCUCCUCUAACCGUAACGUAACAAGCAAUCUUCUCGUUACGCCUGAUUCCGAAUGACCUCACAGUGUAUCUCGCUAUUAACAUUUUUUUUUUUAAAUAGCAAUGAUAAAGAAAAUUAUUAUUUUCUUUUAAAAAAAAAAAGUAAGUAAAGAAAGAAAUACCUAAGAAAAUUAUUGUGAAGUGUAAGCAAGUAAGUUACCCUUGGAGAAGACGGGGGUUUGUCCACUGAGUUGCUCGAGGACCUUGGCCGCACGUGUGAGACGAUCGCCACUUUCACCGACGGAGAUGUUGAGGACCAGCUUUUGCACUUUUAUUUCUCUCAUUGGAUUCGACAGCUUCUUGUCUGACGCCUGAUUGACCAUAAACAACCAAACCAUCACAAUUAAUAAAACAGACAACAAGUUUGAAACGAACCGAAUCAAAUCAAAAUCAAAUGCAGCGAGUAAGAAAACAACCAUUGCUGCUUGCUGAUCGCAGAGGGGCUGAUGACAAGAAUAGAGGCAGCUAAGAUAGACUCGGUGAGCGAUUUAGGGCUUUUGUAAUGGUUGAUUCGUACAUUGACGAAAAUACCCCCUUCACAAAAUCGAAAAUUAUGCAUAAAGGACUUCCGUUGCCGGGACUUGAACCCGGGUCUUUCGGGUGAGAGCCGAAUAUCCUAACCACCUAGACUACAACGGAAUGCUGAUGAGGUCUCACUAUAAUACUUCUUGACAGAAUUGUAUUCACUACUCAACAUUAGAAUUUGGAAAUUUUACUUGUUGCAUGAAACUUACUCAUGAAUAGAUAUCGCCAAAGACUUACGUAUGUGUUCGUACUCGAGUCGAAUCACUCUGUAUUUAAUUUUUUUAUUUAGGUUCGACCUAAGACAUAUGUCGUGCCUAAAUUAAAAAAAAAAAAAAAAUACAACAAUUUUUUAAAAAAAAAGACAUGUCAAGUUGUUAGCAUAUUUUUUUUAAAUCUAUGUACUUUUUGGGUUCACAUAUCUACAGAGUUCAAAUUUCAAAAUUAAAGUCAGUAUUCAAUAAUAAUAAAUUAAUAAUAAUAAGAUAAUAUAAUACUAAUUAAUAAGUUAGACUCUACGGUAUUAUAAUUCUUUUUUAAUACCAAAUUUUUCUUAAGGGUUAACUUAGUUAUUAACUUAAACUUAUUUAGAGUUAUAGAUCAUUAUCCAUAAUAACAUUAGUACAUAUUCAUAAAAUCAUGAUAUUUAUAAUUUUAUUUGCUAAAAUCAUGAUAUCAAUUGUGCAUUUAAUAAAUUAUAAACAUAAAUCAAUUAGAGUUCUUUUUUUUAACUAAGAACUAAAUGAAUUUAAAAAACUUGCGCUAAUAAAAUAUAUUAAAAUAUUCAAUUUCAAGUUAUUUGUAAAAUCGUGAAAUUUUAAGUUUAAUUCCAUUAAAAAGUGAAACGUGCUUAUUAUGAGUCUUUUUACGUGUCGUGUUUUAAUACGUCUCUAAUCAGACUAUACCUUUUAAGGUCCGUGUGUCUAAAAUUAUAAGGUCAGCCCAACCCAUGUGCAUGCCGCACUGUACAAACACAUAUCGUGUUCGUGUAGUGCUUGCUGUUUUAUCUAUAGUAAAACGAAGAGUCAAAGUUGAAAGGAAGUAAAUGAAAUUUAAGUUGAAGUGCAAAAAUAAUUUUCAUUUGCAUUCUAACAUAAUUAGUUUUACUAUUAUAACUUAUGCAUAAUUUUCACUAGGUGGAACCAUGGAAUGGUGGAUACUGAAUGGUGGGAUGGUGUAAAAUCAAUUAUUUAAAAAAAUAAAUAAAGACCGCCAUAUUGGCAAAUUCUAUUAUCCUUUAUGGGAUGGCCUUUCACUAUCUGCGGCCAACUCUGCAAUUCACUGUUCUUGAUAUAUUUUGGCGCAAAUCCAAGUUAUCAAUAUUUCUCCACCAUGAACGAAGUAUCAUGUGAAGAUAUAAAAUUUAGUGUAAUUAGUGGAGUGAGCCCAUGUAAAAAUCAUCCAACCACAAUUAUAGUUUGGUAUAAAUCCUAGACUUAGAUAGAAGCCGCUAUGAUAAUAGAUGAUUUUUUAUUUAUUCAUUUACCAAAUAAUAUAUUUCAAAAGCGCCUGGAGGGUGGAUGCAUUAGAAAUGGUCUUGGUCUUUGCAAAACUCUGCCUGCAUUGCAUAAUGCACGUGGUUCUCUGACUAUGCAUCUCGUCCAUGGCUUCCUACUAGCACGAGCAGUAACAUAUGAUUAAAUUAGACAACAGAACAAGAAGAUAAAGACACAAGGCCAAAAGACUAGAAUUCUCCAUGUAAUCGAAUAUAAGCAGCAACCAAUUUUCUUUACAGUAUUUUCAAUGACCAACACCUUGGAUAACAAUGGAAUGUAAUCAAAUAUAAGCAGCAACCAAUUUUCUCUACAGUAUUUUCAAUGACCAACACCUUGGAUAACAAUGGAAUGGAUUGAAAGUAUAAUGACUAAGAAAAACAGUUUAUAAUAAAAAUUUAAAUUUAAAUUUAAAUUAAAAAAAAAAAAACAAUGGGAACCAUAAGAGUAAUGAAUAGGGCAGGCUAAUCAUUAAUCAAUUCUAUCCAGCCUUCAAUCACAGAAGCAGCAAAUCACUGUAUAAUGUGGUACUAGCCUACGUUGCCCAGAAUCCAAAUGACACAAGGAAAGAGAAUCCUUUUUAAGUUUUAUUCACCUUCUCCUAAAACAUAUUUACACGAAAAAACCAUGGUAGUACAAAAGCUAUUACCAAGCAUGCCAUAAGGAAGUUACAAAAUGGCUGCCCCCGCCAACAACCACCCCUUUCUGAUGCGCUACUGCUGGCAAUAAAUCUCCGCUCAUUCCACUCUUCCAUAAAUCUGUAAUCCCCAACACCAGUAAUAUUUUUUGCACUCUGGCCGCAAAUUUCACACAAUCUGUACAGACAAGAAAGAUACUCUAUGUCAUUAUUAAUUUGCUAACAACUAAUGGUUCAAAGAUUUCUGGAAGCAUUCACUUAUUGUUUUGAGACUAAAAUUACACACUCAGAAUAUGAAACCUUAUUAUUACAGAAUCAAUUUGAAACAAUUUGUUGAUUCACAUUAAAAAACCAAAAGAUAUCACUUUUUUCCUUGUAAAAGAAUUAUCGUAAUCAUGUUAAAAGGGACAGAAAGCAUGUCUGCAAAGCACCAGAACAUCUAAUUCCUAAAUUGUCAGAAAAUCCAAAACCACCAAAAAGAGAGGCAAUAAUAGAGAAAUGUUGACAAAGAUAAUGCAGGAUACAGUUUAUUUUCACCACAUUCGUAAUCAUAUUUUCAUUAUAUCACAUGUUUACUACACUUUACACAUAUCUGGAAAUAUUCACACAAUUGCUAAAGCAACACGUAAUGAAUGAGAUGUUUCCAGCCUACAUGUCUAUCCGGUAUCCAUAAGACAUUUCCUCACUAUGAAUCAUAAAGUUUUUUGCUAUCACUUAAUAUUUCAUCUAUAUUACUGAGAAGAAUGAUUAUGACAGCACCAUAAACAUCUAAUUCCCUAAAUGGAUAUUCAUCAAACUUACUUACAAUGAAUCAAGAUCUAUAUUCCAAGCUGAAAGCUUAUGGACCUAAAGCCCCUAGACCAUUUUUUGCUCUGCGAAGGAGCCGCCUGAACUGGAUGCUCAGUAUUUGGUUUGAGCUUAACAUGAGACCAAGAGUCCACUUGAAAUUAGGUUCAGAGCACUGAAAUUUAAUGGAGACUAAAACUUCCUAAAAUCAGGGAAGUAGAAAUCCAUGUUACAUUAGAAAAGAGAGGAAAAUUAAAUAUAAAAAAAAUACAACAUGAACAAAAGAAGUAGAAAUCCAAGUUACUCUUUUGAACAAAAUGUUAUUUUUAUUCGGUAAUAUGUGCAAGUUAAAAGAAAUAAAACCAUAUAACUUAAGCAACAUCAUCUAGUAAUUGAAAUUAAUAUUUCUUUUCCUGUGGUUAUGCGGCUGAUAUUUCAAAAACUCAAGAGAAUCAGGUAUGUAUUUGGAAAGUUCGGCUUCUAGGGAAACACAAAAUUUGCAAAGCCCUUGUAAUUCUCAGUACAUUCUGAUGAUAAAUCUACCCAAAAACACAUUUACUCAUAAACUCUGUGGCAGACACUAAAAAGAUGCAAGUUUUCACAGAAACAAGAAACAUUUACCUGUUUCCUUUUAGCUUAAACCAUGCUUCAGCACAAUCACUAUGAGCAACGCCAAGCUCAUCUUUACAACCACAACCAAGCUGAAUUAGAUUGACAGUGGUAGAGGCAGUAGCUGUAGUUUCCAACAAUUGCUCAGAACCCAAGUGACAAAUCCUACAAACUCUUUCCCCAUCUGGGUUCUCCCUAAACCCUUUUCCACCUCCAGCACUACAUUUCAUAUCAAUCACACAGGAUUCCUUCUCGGUUUCUGGUUUAGACAUUUUUCUGAUGCUGUUUUCCACCAGCGCCUUACCUGAACCCAAAUCAUUACUUUUCACUUCUAAGUCCCUAUUUUCUCCUCCAGAGCAUGCUGUCUGAUUUGAAUUUAUCACAAUGACAGGCACAACCACAUCACCCACAUGACUAGAAUUCCCACUGCUCUCUGGAUCAGUUUGACGUCUCUCAUCAGUUCCUUGUCCAUUACAUGUCUCAGGUGCAUUAACUACUGCACCACUUGACACCAUUUUAUCAAUUUUCAAUCCAAGGCGCCCAUUUUCUUCAGUAAAACCAGUAUUCUGUUCAGAAUUUCUAACAGCCACAGUUUCUAACGACACCCCAUCAACAGGAUUGCUUGAAUUUUCCCCAAUUACUCUGCUAGUACAUGUAUCAUGGUUUAUUACCACCUCUUGCGCUUCUACUAAUGCUCUGCUUGAGCCAGGAUCGUCAGUUUUUGAUCCAAAAUCAUCAAUUCCCCCGCCAAUACUCACAGCUUCAACUGAAUUUGCCGCAGCCACAGUGUCCAAGGCAACCCUAUUAACCGAAUAUCUGGAAUUCUCACUUAUAACACAAUUUACUUGACUCAAAUUGUCAUCGUUCCUAUUACUCUUCUGUGUCUCUUGGUCCAUUUAAUCUUAUGUAAGAAAAUUAAAUAAUUCUCCCCCCAAUAAUUUUCAAGAAAAAGAGAACAAAUAUGCAUAGAAUGAGAUCAUGGACAUAUGGCCAAUGGCAUUAUCUCUACUACUGAAAUACUCGUUCUCGCCAAUCCUUAUAAAACAAUCAUUCACAGAUUAAAAACCAGAAUCAAGAAUGGAAAAUUGGAAUCAAAUAUGCAGUAUUUACAGACAAAAGUAUUCGGUUAUUGGGAAAAAAUAAUGACAAUUAACAGCUAAUUAAUUCCAACAUAAAACGAACCUCUUGCUUCUUUACAACAAACCCAGAGACCAGAUCGUCACCUACUCUAUUUGUCCACUUCAUACACACGCAAACGAGAGCCCCUCCAAUCAUCCACCAAAAAAAGCGUUUACUUGAUUACUUCAAAUAUUAAAACCCCCCUAACUUAAAAAAAAAAAAGGAUAAAACAAGCUCAUACUUUUUUUGAAAAUAAACUUAAAAAAGAAAAAGAAAGAAGCAAGAGACAGAGUUUUAGACUCGUAACAGAGAUCUAACGUUGUCCCAAAGAUAACUCCACCAAGUGUCAACCAAGUACCUUAUAUUCUUGUUGAUAUAUAUAUAUUUAUAAAACGAUUAUGAAAGACGAGAUCAGGUGAGAAGAAACGAACCAACAAACAAUACCAGAAGAGGUAGAGUUUGAGUGGGAAUGAAAUUAUAUUUUAAUGGUUAAUAUUCGUGAUUUGGAUUUAUUCGUGAUUUGGAAUUUAAUUAACCAAAUAAAGUAUGUAUUUGGAAGGACCCUAGGAGCAAGCAGAGAAUUGCAUUACAAACACGUAGAGUUAACAUGCUUAUCUUGUUAUGUUUGGCUUAUCUUUUUGGCAUGGAAUAUUUAAUAUUUUGUUUUUUUUAGGUAACGUUUUGAAUAGGUAAAGGCUGCUGCCUCUGUUGGCGCCGCAACUUAAGCAAACCGCGGAGGUAAAAACUGAGAUGGGAUUUUUUUUUUUAUAUAUAAAAUGGAAUGCAAAAUUGAAGCACAUUCACCAGGCACUGGGAGAGACCAAAACAGGGGAGUUAUGGCCAAAAUUUAAUCAAGUGGGACGGGUGGAGAGUUUGGUAGUCACAAUCUUUUAAUCACUUGUCGCACUAUCAACCAAUGCAAGUGGCUAUAAGGGAUUUUACAUUUUAGUGCAUAUUCAAUUCAUGAAUCUUCGUCUGCUGAAAAUGGAUAUGCAUUGAAAGUGCAAAGAGAUACAAAAGGUUUAGCCGCCAUCCGCUGGGUAAGUGCCAGCAGACUGUACACGUUAUUAUCUUCAAAUUACAAUUUAAACCAUUAACUGAAAAGGAAAUAAAUCAUAAUUUGGAGACAGCUGGCAUGUGUCACGCCAACUAAUUCCAGUAAUGUGUAGCGUAGCUUCUGGGAAAAUAAAUUAUUGUCAAUGAAUCAUGAUUAUAAGAAUAAUAUAUUCCUGAAGCAUAUUUAGACGCUCCCAGGAAAAGGCUUUAGAGUAGUAACAUUUACAGUUAACUGCCUGGAAGCCCUGAUGCAACCUCAGGCACUAACCCAAAAAAUGUUCGACUACAAUUCAGUGAAUAAUGUGCCUAAUAAGAAGCAAACCUCAUUUACAGCUGAAUUUUGGACACUGCAUCUAGUAGUUUCUAUUACCUAGGUCCAGAAAGUUCAAUGGCUUCAAUGAUAAAUGAUGACUCGUCCUGAAGAUCACUAUUAUUCCCAGAGAAGCUACAAUCCCUUGCCUCACAAAAGUGGGUUCCACCUUGCAUUUCUUCUGCUACUGGCUCUACAAGAACUUCCAAGACCUUCAAGACUUCCGACAUCUUUGGUCGGAGGUUAGGAUGUGAUUGAGUACACUGCAGAGCCAGCUGUACCAUUUUUUCUAAUUCCGUUGGAUCAAAACUUCCCUUUAGAUCCCUAUCUAUGAGCACAUCCAACCUCCUCUCUUCAUGUAAGGUUCUAACCUGCAUAAUUGGUGUAAUAUUUAGUAACUAGGGGAACACAAAAGUUGUUUCCAGAGAUGCAACAUGCAGAAUCGAGAUAUGCAAUGUGCUGGCACUGCCAACGACUUAAUUUACAAGAGAGCCGUAGGUACUUACACAAUCAAGGAUCAUUCCCUUCUGAACCUGACCAUUUCCAACAUCCAAGGCCUUUUGCCCUGUAAUGAGUUCCAAAAGUAGUACCCCAAAUCCAAAGACAUCAGUUUUUUCAGAGGACUGCCCAGUUGAAAGAUACUCAGGAGCAAUAUGACCCACAGUUCCCCGCACUGCAGUAGUGACAUGUGAAUCUCUCCGAUCUAACAACUUAGCAAGGCCAAAAUCCCCAACCACAGCUUCAAAACUUUCAUCAAGCAAAAUGUUUGCCGCUUUAACAUCCCUAUGAAUUAUUUUUGGAUUACACUGUUCGUGUAAGUAAAGAAGUCCACGGGCAGUUCCAAGGGCAAUAUGCAUCCGUCUAUUCCAGUCAAGAGGUGGCUUUGCCUGACGAGUGUCUACCAAAUAAAAGAAGCCAACAAAGAAACAGUGAAAAGACGAAGAGAAAAAGUAAAGGUAGAAUAAGAAUGCAGAGAUUGAAUGUAUUUCAAACUCAGUGUGACUGAUUAAAUCCAGUAGCUAUUCAAAAUGAAUUCAGAUGCAUAGCUGCAUAACACGGUUGUUUUUCUAUUGACCAAACAAAAAGUUUCCUAUAGGAAUUAUGAUUCUUCCGACUAUAAGAAUAUAAAUGAGAACUCAUCAAGAAGUGCCCCAGAAUUAGGGCAAAUUGUGAAAAUAUUUAAAUGUGUUCUUAAUAUGACGAGUAAACAUUUCGGGUCACAAUAUCAUUUUGGGCAGAAAUGAAUACACAAACAAGAUUUCCCUAACUGAAUUAGUGAGCUAAGGAACAGAUGUUUAACAAACAGAAAAGUGUGAGCUUCAAUGCAAAGCCUCAAGCAGCAGUUGCUCAUAUUAGCAAUCUGGACUGGCUCAAGGAAAUGAAACUAACCUCUCAAGCAGUCAGCAACACUCCCAUUCGGCAUAUAAGGAUAAACAAGCAACCUUUCUUCAGGUGUCAUACAGAAGCCAUAUAAGCGCAAGAGGUUUCUAUGCAAAGCUAAGCCAAUCAUCUCAACUUCAGUUUGAAACUGCACCUCUCCAGUGAAAUUCGGGUCUUUUAGCCUUUUAACUGCCACCACCAUCCUAUUUGGAAGACAUCCUUUAUAUACUACUCCGUAUCCUCCCUGCCCUAGAAUGUUUUUGGGACUAAAAUUUCCAGUUGCAAUUUGUAAUUCACGAAAUGAAAACCUCUUCAGAUGACCAACAUCAAAUUCAUAAUCUUGCUGAACUGCAAAUCGCAAAUCAUUUUAAUUUUUCUCACCCUCUAUAAACAAGUACAUGGUUAGUAAAAUUACAUAUUGUUCGGAAAGUACCAUAUGAUGUAAAAAGAAGACGCGAUCUGUACCAAUGCACCCAACAAACAAGCACCGCCACUGAAACAACAAAUGUGCAAGUGAUGCCAACAGCAAGAGAAAGCACCAAUCGACGGUGACCACUGGCUUUUGGAGAUAGACCUGUCUCUUCAGUUUGUAUUGUAAUUAAUUUGGAUUCACAUCAUUGAAGCACAUUACAUAAGAAAAGGUAAGACAUGUUGCAUCUAGAUUACCAUUUUCUUGUUUAGAAAUACCAGUGCAAGAAUGUUCCGAUGAAGUACAAAGAAAGCUGUUCCCUGUAAAACUAGAAUGAAAUAUGCUGACCUUUAGUUGUCUAAAACAAAUAUCAGGAUGAACUCAUAAAUAGUACAGGAAUUUUGAUUCAUUGAAUCAAUGGAGGAUGGCUAAAAGAACACAACUGUUUAAAUUAAAACAUAUAAACAAGCAAGAGUAGUAAGGUUUAUUGAUAGGGAAAAUCUCUUUCCUCUAAAAUUCUCACCUGUAGCCGUUUGCUAGUACUUUAGGCGUAGGCCCACUGAGAUUAUUGAAUGAUAAAUCCCUGCACGGUAUUAUAAAAUAUAAAUCAGAAGCAUUUUAAAGAAUCAAAAAAAGAAAACACAGUUUAUAUGACAUGCAACACAUACAAGAAUGAAAGACUUGUAAGAUUGGCAACAAGAGUAGGAAUCUGUCCAGAUAACUUGUUGUUAUUAAGCCUCCUGAAAAACUAGUCAUAGAAAAGCUUUAGAACAUGAAAAAUUAGAAGACCCCAAACUCAGAACUAGUUAACGUACAUAUUGGUUAACCAAAUGAAUGUCAAUCCACACUUACAAGUAAGUUAGAUGAGUUAGGAAACCCAAAGAACUUGGAAUUUCUCCAACAAGUUGAUUAUUAGAAAGGUCAAGAGUUUGAAGCUCUGAGAGCAUCCCAAAUUCAACUGGGAUAGGACCAGAUAACUGAUUGUUAUGCAAUAACCUGCAGGAGAAAAAAAAAAUGUGGAAUCACAAAUUAGUACGUAUAUAAACAAGAAAAGGUUUACUUUUUUCAUUAUUUCCUCAAAGAUUUACGAAAAAGUACUAUUUUCCAAUAUGUAAUACAUUACAGAUUAUUUCAAAACGUCAAUGUACAGAGGGCAACUAUUCGGAAACUAAAAUCAUAACUGAAAUUUAAACAAAUUAAUAAAAACCAAAACAUGUAAGCACUACAGCAUUCUGAAGGGUAGGUAACUCACAUUGUUCUUAGGUGGGUCAAGUUCCCAAUACUUGGGGACAGCGUUCCUGAUAAGCCCAUACUUGCCAUUUCACUUCAAAACAGCAAAUUAAACGGGAAAAAAAAAGAAUAGAUAUUACAGACGACCUAAAGAAACGGAACAUACAUUCGCCGCACUACUAAUAGUGAACGAAUAAAGAAACAAAUGGUACAUUGUCAUUGUUGUUAGGCUUACAGAGAAACAACGAAACCUUCAGCAGAGCAAGCGACCAUAUUCCAAGUACAAGGAUCCACAGAGUUAAUAUCCCAGCCGUCCAUCACAUGCAAAUCAUCUCUCAUUUUGAUCUUCAGAGCCAUCAAAGCAGCAACUGCUCCUCAACAGAAGACAGAACCCAUAAUUUAAGGCAACCCAAAAAGACAGAACCCAAAAAGCAGCAGUGACAUAUACACAGUUACCUCACCUUCAUAAUUAACGCCCUUGGGAGAUAGGAGACUGUCAGAGGCUAAUACUUUCACUUUGGUGUCUUCCCAAAACAAAGCGAAAAUUAAAAUUAAAAGCAACAAGAAGAAAGACACCGCCAUUCCAUUAUUUCCCAUUGACUUGGACUGGAAACCAGAAAGUGAACGAACAGUAAAGCAAAAGGAGGUGGUUGCUUUUUUUUUUCUUUUAGUGGGAGAGACCCAGUGCAGAAAAUUGAAUAUGGAAGUCGCAAUCUGUCGUAAAACCAAAUUUAUUUAAAAAUGAUUUUUCGAGGGCAAGACCAGGAAAAAAAGGCUCCAUGAGCGGGAAGCGUUCUUGAGAUUCGUAAAGUGACAGCGAUUGUCGACUUGUCGGACAUGCUCUUUUUUCUCACUUUGAUAAUAAAGAGGGUAGUGCAAGCGCCGUUGAUAUUUCUUACCACUUUGACCAUUGACCUCGAUCCCACUGUUCAGAUACCCCUUACUCUAUAUUUGUUUGAUUGCAUAUUUUAUAGGGUGUGAAAGAAACGACAUCGUAUUAGGGUUACGUGCAUUUUUGGUUUUUUAAAACAACGGUUCGGGUUUCUCAGAAGUCUGCCCGCGGUAUACCGCCGCAAAUAGAUGGGCCAGUUUUGGCUGCCUGGACACAACGAAUGAUCAAAACAUUAAAAUAUGUACAAUAGAAAUUUGGCAGCAACUUUUAAUUUCAUGCACUUAUCCUUUUGCUGUUAAAUAUAUGGCCUGUUUUGGAUUCCCGUAAUGUAGCUUAAAAGAUAUAAUUAUUAUAAAAAUAUAUAAUUUUAAAUAAUAAUUUUAAUAAAAUUAUCAAAAUAAUAAUAAAUUUUUUAUUAUGUAAAUAAAAAUUAUAUCAAUAUAAUUUUUAAAUUACAAUAAUUAUUACAACUGUUACUUUCGACCAACUCUAAAGUAGAGCAAUCACCAAAACCGUUGGAUAUCUGUACUUAAAAAUGAAAUAAUUAUGAUAGGAUACAUCCAACGGCUCUUCAGGCUACCCUCCCUUGGAGCCAAGGUAGCUGAACCAAUAAUUAUUUACCAUUACUAAAUACUUCAGUAGUACAAUUUAAAAAACUUCCGUUGUGCAACUUUGAUUCUAAAUAUGACCGUAGUACAGUUACAUUGGAUGAUUGUUUUGACUCUGGCACUCGGCAACUAGGACAAGUUCAAUCAAUGUCAUGCCGACAUUCAAUUAUUCAAAAAGUAAAAGGAAGAGGGAAAGAGGAAACGAUAAAAAAGCAUCGAGAAUGGCUAUGUUUUUGGGUGGCUUCUUUUAACAAAUGCGCAAUAAUAGCACUCAGCUGAUAUUUUAGUAUUAAAUAAGAAACUAGGAAGAAAGCACGAAACGAAAUAUUAAGUUGUGACCUGACAACUACAUGAAAUUUUUUCUUUGGUUAUCCCCCACAUCGAAAACAAUUCUUCAGCGUAAUUUAUGCGGAGACAUGUUAGCAGUUGAGCGUUUCAAGGGCACCCCGCCAAAAAUCGGCUACAAUUUUCAUUCUACCAUUGUAUUUUCAGAAUUCAAGAUGGAACAAUCUGGUAGGAUCGUCAACUACCGCAAUAAUUCAACAUCAGUUCUAGAGACGUACAAAUGUUGAAGAUUCACCAACCUUAUCACAUCCAACAAGUGAAAUAUGCAAAGAACUUGGAAUGAAACAAAUAGGGGGCAAGCAAGCAUUUCCAAGAGGAGAAUUGCAAUAACAUUACUUUGCACAAACAGCAAGUGACAACAAUUGUCUGCAAUUUGAAGUCAGUCACCACAGACCAUCAAAAUAGAGAAAUUGAAAGACUUGCAAAGAGGGAAAAGAAAAACAGGACCAAACCUGACAACAUCAUGCCCACCCCAUCUUCUGGGCCAUUCUCUUUGGGGCUUUCUUCCUAGGUACAAAUACAUUUUUCCUCAGUUUUUCCUCUACUAACAGCAGUCUGAUCAGUCCACCUUAUCAACUUAACCUAUCUUUACUAUCAAACAUGUACAUAAACAAAUGGGAACUUUAACAGAGGAGGGGGGGUGGGACGAAGUGGGGAGGAGACACAGGAGGAUGGAAAAGCAGAAAAAGAAGGCACCAAGAAAAGCAUAGCUGCCUGAGAAUGUAGGCUUGCUGAUCGAGCAACAACUGAUGCUGAUUAAGCCUCAAUGCAUGGCAGUUACGAACAAGGAUAUAAUUCCCUUUGUGCUACACAUCACCAAGUAGAUUUCACUUCUAUAUUACUUGUCUAGACCUAUGUCCCGGCUGGAUGCAAGAAAUUCAGACCUAAUUGCCGUUUCACAUGGUCUGGUAUCAACUUAUUAACAAGCUCUGGUGAAGCCCCCGAUAACUGUAACAAAAACAACAAAAUAGAUAAAAAAAAAUUAGCCUAAACUUCAAUAUAAAAUGUUGACAAGAAGUUGGUAAUGAAAUGUCAUACAGUACUGAGUUCAUUGUUCUAAAAAAUUUACUGUUCAGAUAAAAAAUGAAAAAGCAUCUGAAAGGACACAAUUUCUUGGAGAUUUGAAAGCAUAGGAACAAAUAUUGCAAGUAUCUAGUUCGAUAGCCAAAUCAACAUCAUUCUAUCAAUAGAGGCUACUUCACAAAUUUUGAAGACAUACUUCCUGUUUAAAGUUGAAGAGAGGUGGCAGUGGGCGGCCAUUUGGUAGGCGAGCAUUUGGCUCACGCAGUUCAUCAAAGAAAGGAUGUGCACAUGCUUCUAGCUGUAAUAGAAAAGGUAAAAUCUUAAUCAGAAAUAAAACAAUGGAGUGCACAAUAUAUUUGGCUAGAAAAAGCUUAACAAGAGAAAAACAGUUGCAUAAUACAUUCUUUUUUUUAAUUAAGCAUUAAAGGUAUGAAUUCCUCGUGUACUAAACAUAAAUUGACCACACAAAAACCACAUGCCCAUACAGUUGAAUAAUGAUCAAACUCACCGCUGUACAUCGGAGACUUGGUGAAUACUGCAACAGGCGUGAAGCAAGAUCAAUAGCCUCAGGAGGCAUCCGUUUGUGGAAAACCUAAACACAGAAAAACAUGAAUGGAAACAUUAUUUUAAGCACAUAUGGAAACAACAAAAAAAUUGUUGUAUUCAAAUGAUUGGAUUCAUUUUCUGGCCUUAGAAGAGCCUCAAACAUCCAAGAUACAUGGUAUCAGUGAAAGGGUAAUUUAAUCACAAUGCCUAGGAGAAAUAGCAUUGAUAUGGCUUCCAUAUUCCAACAACCAAUGUUUAGGAAAAUGAAAAAUACAUACCUUGUGCCAAGGAUGUGCUUUAAUCUGUGGAAACCUAAAAUCGGUAUAAUUUGGAUUCAUACAGCGAAUUUCUUCACGAGUGGGUGUACCGAGAACCUACAGAAGCAAAAGCAGCAUGUGACGAGUGAUCAUGAAAAUUGCAUCAUUUCAAAAAUUUGAGGGCAAACUGUACCUUGAUAAUCUCUACAAGCUGGUCCACUGCAUUUUCUCCAGGAAAUAAUGGCUAAAAAAUAUUCAAAAUUAGCAGCAGUCAGCAAAACAUAAUUACACCUGAGAAUUAAUUAUUUUUUAGAAUUCAUAAAAUAAAUACCAGAAAAUGGAAUUAAAAUUGAAACCUGGCCCAAAAGAAGCUCGGCAAGCACACAACCAGCUGACCAUAUAUCAAUUGAGGUUGUAUAUUCUGUAGCUCCAAAUAUAAGUUCUGGAGCCCGAUAGAAACGUGAACAUAUGUAUGAUAUGUUUGCUUCUCCAGCAAUCUGAGUCCAGGUAGUUUAUCAGUUUCACAUAAAGCAUUCAACAGACAGCAAAACAAGAAUUGUUUUUUUGGGUAAGUAGGAUAUUUCAACUAAAACAAGACAACAUACCAGCUGUUUUGCACUUCCAAAAUCACAAAUCUUAACCUGGUGAGUAAGAGGAUCAACCUACAGAGAGAUAAGUAUGAGAUCAGAAAACCACCACAACUUCUAGUCGCAGCUUAGAAGGGGGAAAUGCGUACCAAAAGGUUUUGAGGCUUCAAAUCCCUAUGGCAAACUCGAGGAACAGUGUGGAUGUAAGCCAGGCCCCUGAAAAUCUGCAACAGAUCCCCUAAUUAUAAAAAGAAAGCACAUGCAGGAUCAAAUUAACCUCAUCAGAGGCAUCAACAUACCUGGUACGUAUAAAGUUUCACAUAUAUGAGGGGCAUUCUCUGAUUUGCACUGCUGUAAUGCUUCAAAACCCUAUACAUGCUCUCUGGUACGUAUUCCAUAACCAAGUUGAGGAAAAGUUCGUUUUUACUGGUAGUUGAAAAGAAACAAUGCUUCAAAGAAAUCACAUUUGGAUGAUCCAUCACCCGCAUUAACUGCAGUUCACGAUUCUUAUAUCUUCUGUCCUGCAAAACCUUCUUGAUAGCCACAGUCUCUCCAGUUUCCAAGCAUUUAGCCUAAGAUAAGACAAUAACGUUAGCAUAGUAGAGGGUAACACAAUAAAAUUUUCGAAACAAAAUAUUUCCUUACCUGGAAGACAAUACCAAAUGACCCAGUUCCCACAACACGCUCCGCCAUGUAGCUAAUAGUCUGCAAGAUGCAACACACCAAAUACAUUAAAAUUCAAAUGAAAAUAAAAAUUUUACUUUAGGGUUACGGUAGGAAUCCAAAGUUGGUUAACAAUCAUAUUUACUUUUCAAAUAAUAUAGACACUAGAAAAAAAAGAAGGAUUAAACGGGAACAAAAAUCACAAAGAAGGUUAAAAGAGGGAACUCAUACCUGUUUUGGCUCUCCAUUUUUGCCUCCAAUGGUGGUGGAAAUGAUGUGACCAGUGACAUGGUCACUCCCAUCAACAACAGCAGCAGACAUCUCCUGCAAAACAUUUUACAAGGGCAAUUUCAUAUCAUGUACUCAACUGAGAAGACAACUAGUAGGAAAUAAAAAUCAUUUACUUUGAUGUCUCAUAUUAGUUUACACUACCAAAAUUAGAAGGCAGAUGAAAUAAAAGUCGACGAUCAUUCACGAGUAACAGGUAUAUCGAACAUAUUAAAUCCAAAAGUAAUUUAAUAGAAGCAAGUAAGGCAAGUUUGAUCCAUACAAGCACCAGAAACAAAAAAAAAUCAUUUGAAAAACAAGUUGAACGGAGCUCAAAGCACGGAUCGGGUAAACAGAGUGAUUAACUAAUUACCAUAAUUAAACUCAAGAAAAGGGGAAAAAAUUAUCUGCAAAUCCAUACAACAAAAAAGAUCUGAGAUCUAGACAAACUAAAGAAAAAAGAAAAAGAAAAAACUAAUAAGGAAGUUGUCCGGUAAGCUAACAAAGCCAGAUCGCCAACGCAGAAGCUACAAAUUUCACGUAAAAAACCAAAUUUUCACGAGUGUAUAAUAAACUGAAGAAAAACGUAAAUCUUCCAAAAUUCCACCCGUCUCAACUCAAAAUAUACAAAAAUAACAACAGUUUGUGCCACAUUUACAUUUGCUUCACUAAAAAAUAAAAGAAAAAGAAAACCUAAACUCUACACAAUCACUUUCUUUUCCGCAAAAACCAAGCUUCAGAUAAUAAAAAUAAUAAAAAUAAUAAAAAUUUUUGUUUCCAUCGGUUGUUCUUUCAGCGGAAAAAAAAAGUCAAAAAAAAAAAAAAAAGUAUACCUUAUCGUCGGCCAUGGGGAGAUUUGGAGAGAAAUUGGGGUGAAGAGAGAGAGAGAGAGAGAGAGAUAGAGAGAGAGAGCGAUGGAAGAGAAAUGGAGAAAUUUCAACGGUGGAUGAGGGAGAAGAUGAUGAUCAUGGUGUGGCGAUGGAGAAUGAGAGAAAGGAGGACCCAAGGACACACAACAAGCCCAUGUGAUUCCAGCUCUUCUUUUUCCUCCCUUGUUUUUGUUUUUGUUUUCCUUUUCCUUUUUCCCCUUUUUUUUUUUCCCCCUUCCCCUCUGUCUACUUUCCGUUCUAUUCGCUUUUUGAUUUUUCCUCUUUUCCUAGAAUUCCUACAGUGCCCCUCUUCUGGUGAUGGAAUUACGAGGACAGGAUUUGAAUUUGGACCAUAAAAAUAUAUAUAUAUAUAUAUUAUAAUAUACGUUAAACAAUAAUUAAAUAAACGGCAAGUUUGUUGAAGUGUUUUGACCGGUCGAACCCCAAUAAUACCAUAUCCAACUAAGGCUGCUUACUUUCUUGAGAAUUUUAGAUUAAAUUAAAGGUUGAGAAAAUUAUUAUAUUAUAUGGCGUAAUACUAUUGAGAUAAAAUAACGAUCAGAGUUUUGGAUUUGACUAUCUUAUUAAGAUAAUUUUUUUUUUAAUUUUUAUUUUACUUAUAUGUAAUCUUAACUCAUGCAUUUACAGCAUACUAAGAUUAUCGACCAUGGUCGGAGUGGUGGGCUGCUGCCCUCACAAUGCUUGUGAGGGCAGCGGUUCAAGCCCCCACAAAAGCAUUUAUGGGGGCUAACGUGCUUAUUUGUUUAAUAUUUCAAAAAUUUCCUCUCCCUCGUGCAAUACGAGUGGAGUAUGGACAUCCCUCUUCUGUAAGGGAUUAUUUGUCUGGGCAUGUACUUCACAGAAUUCAAUGUAAUAAUAUAAGUCUCAAUCAUAUAUUUCUGAUUGUAAAUAUCAAUGUAAUAUAUAUACUAUAAUAGCAGUUGUAAAUAUCUGUGUAAUGUAGUAAUAUGAUAAUUAAUCAGUAUUAAAAAAAAAAAGAUUAUCGACCAUAGUUCAGAAUUUUACACAAAUUGAAAUUGGUAAUCAUAUAAAAGAUCAGCAAAUUGUUAAGUACAAGUACUUUAAAUGGUAACUUGCCUAUUCUGUGUAUGACGAGUUUCGUGAGAUCAUAUAAUCAAUCCAACAACGCAGAAUGAUUUCAUCAAUAUCGCAAAUUGAAACGGCAUGGGAUGAUCUAAUUCCAAUCUGCAAACUAAACGUUGUGUGGUCCAGUACCAGCUUGGAAUUGGAGACGACUUUAUUUACAAUUAUGAUACCCCAUGCAGUAGAUGGUUGCAUUUGUAAACGAUUCGUUUAGUUAUAUUAGGGAGCAAGCUAUAAUAUUUUAUAAGCUUUCUCUAAUUAAUAUAAUAUUUUUUAUAACUUCAGGAAUAGAAAUUUGGUUUUUCAACUUGAGUUCUGGAAGGGCAUGCGUACGCUGGGAAUUGGGAAAGUUCAAUGAAAAAUAGCUUCCCAAACGAUAGCAAAGGACGGGUCGGCGAGGACGGGAGCUGGCAUUGGAUAACUGUGGUCAACUGCCCAUACUUGAUUUUUAGGAAAAAAAAAAAAAAAUUCCAAUCCUCUAAAUUACAUUUAUUAUUUAAAAUAUUUAAUAAGAUUGAAAAAUUUAAGCUCCUGCGCCUUAUGAGUUAAAGUUACGAUCACUUAUAUUGAAUUUAUUGUUAAAUUACCUCUUAUAAACUAAAUUUUUGAUUUCUCGUUCUUGUAGGCAGGGGAGGACUAUAAUAAAAGAAAACAAAAUCUACUGGGUCGGGGUAUAAAAUGAGUAAUUGGAGUUGGAAGGGCAAAUUUUUGCUUUACAGUGGUCUGAUUAGCAACCUAAUUAAGAUACCGAUAUGAUGAGAGCGAGAAGCAUGAGAAAAACAUUAGCAAAAAUGAGUCUGGCAUGCUUUGUUUCAGUCAUCAUGGCUUAUUUGGAAACGCCUAACGACUUGAAAGCUUCUCAUGCACCUGGACGCAUUCGCAUUCGCAUUCCCCAUUCUUUGAUUUUGUUUAGUGAAGAAAGCUCCCACGCAUGUCAUCCUCGCUUUGUGCAAAUACCUCAAUCCAAUCUCAUAUUUAUUCUGUUUCACAACCCAUAUUUUGUUCAUAAGUCCAAUUGUUAGGUUUCCUUUAAGUUAUUAUUAUUAUUAUUUUUUUAUUUUUAUGUUUCUACAAACAAAUUAAAUCUUUAUAUUUUAGAAUUUAAUAGAUUAAAUUUAAAGCAAAUGCUAGACACCUCAAUAUUUAAAUUCCAAUUUGAGUUCCUAACAUUUAAAUCUCAAUGAACUUCCAAUUAAUAUAGUAUUCAUUUAUUGUAUAGUGGCUUCUCAAUAAUUUUAUAACCUAUCAAAUCCAUCAUUAAAAAAAAAAUAACAUAUGACAUUGAAAUUAAGUAGAGACUCAAAUGUUGAAAUUCUUAAUAUUAUUAUUAAAUUAAAUGAAUUUCAUUAUAACAUAAUCUAAAUUUUUAUUUUUAUAAUUAAAUAUAUUUACUCUAUUUAUAUUCUUGAGAGAAAUUAUUUGUCAAUCCACAAUUGAUUUGUCAACCUACAAUUGAUUAAUAUAUAUAUAUAUACAGUAAACUUCUUAAAUAGAGAGAUGCAUGUAGGUUCAUUCUUCCAAAAAGGACAAAAGAAACUUGCCGUUCAAAAAGCUAAAACUGAGCCAAUAUUAAAAACUAUUUUUGGGGUUUCAAAUUAACUUUCGGUCACUUUAUUAACCUUUAGCCUGAAGCCUUUUUGAUUACGGAGCAGAAAUCUGAAGCAUAGUGAAAAGAGUUCUGCCCACUUGGAGUUGAAUGAUUUUAAUCUUCUACACCUAUUAUUUCUUCAUAAAUCACUAUUGUAAGUUUGACCAAGGUGGCGGAGUGAGUCGGUUUGUCUUGGUCAGAGUCAAAAUUGAGAUGUAUUUUCCUUUUUCUUUUUUUCUUUUUUUCCGCUAGAGGAGCUGCGCAGGUCCUAGUCUUCAUACAGAGGCAGCUCUGAGCCUUUGGUAGGCUUCUGUAGCCAGGUCUUGCGGUGCUGGAUUGUAAAGCAACUUGACAAUUACCGCCAAGAAUUAGAUAAGGAUACGUGUUCAAACAGAGAGUUGAUUUGAUGUUGAGCUACAGCAACACUCAGAGAUUUUUGCAGUAAAGGCUCGCCAAUCGAAGGUCCGUAGCUGCUGCAACAAUCUCAUAGGAUCAGGAGCAAUCCGAAAUGAUUGACUGACUGACUGUACGCACAAAGCAUUUAAUCGGAGCUCAAUUGUCAAGCAAUAACGUAACCAAUGGGUCGUUUUGAUCCGACCCAAUGUUCUACUACCGGGCCCAGAUCUUAGAAGUUCUGUUUGGGCUCAGUUGAGAACGUGAAACUGAAGCCCAUGCCAACGCAGACAUCAACCUUUUCCUACUUUGAAUACACACACGACUCAUUGUAAUGUAAGUUGACAAAACAAACGAAAACCGGCCUCUUGCGGGCGGGAGAAUCAUACGUAACAUAUAACUAAUGCUUACAUAAACGCAUUUGCGAUUCACAACUUGUGCCCGGGUUAUAUAAUGGAAAAUUUUAAUCAUCAUUUGAUAACUUGAGUAAAGACACCGUGGAUGAAUAUUAUAUUAAUGACGUAAAAUGAAGUCAACCUACGUCUAACACUUUCUAGUGGCGACUGGUGAUGCAUCACCGCAAAAAUGACUAAUAUGAAGAUAUUAGAUAUGAGUCCAUCGUCCAUGACAUAUCAGAGGUCAUCAAAAUACAUAUAUUUCAAAUAAUCAGCUGUCAAUUUUUCCUCUUAAUUUUCCACCCCCUCUCCCGGCAAUAUAUAUGUUCUUGAGUUUCAACAUUUUAAAGUAACAUUUGGGACAGUGUCCAGCUGCUACAGCUGGGUUGUGACAGCUGUUUUUUAUUUUUUAUUUGUUAUAUUUAAUUCCAUCCAUUUUUAUAUAUAAAAAUUCAUAUAUUACUUCUUGCAUAGUUGUUUCACUUUGUUUAUAAUUAAGUCAAUUUUUUUUUUCCACUUGAUUUGUAACUGUAAUAGAAAGUCAUGAUCCUUAUCAAAUACCCAUAAACAGGGACGGAGCCAGCAUGGGACGAGGUGGGGCACCGGCCCCAGCUGGCUUUAAAAUUUUUUUUAUAAUGAUACUAAAAAAUUGUAGUUUUUUUGUUAUUUAUGAAAAAUGCCCCAGUUGAAUUGUAAAAUUUAAAAUUGACUCCAGUAAUUUUAAAAUAUUUCAUAUUGUCCCUAGUUUAAAUUUCUAAUUAUAAAUAAUUUAAUUAGUUAUUAACAUUUCAUGAAACUUGAUUAAAGACACAAGAACAAAUAUUAAAAUAAAAAACAAUCAUAACAAAAUGAAAUUUAUAAUUUUAUCAUUUUAAUUUUCUAAUUAAUCUUUUGUCUAGUUUUAAAAUUUAUAAUUUUAUCAUGCAUUUCAUAUUUGUUUUGUGUGUUGCAAUAUAUUAAUAUUUUUGUUAUUAUUAAAAGAUUUUAAGAGCAAAUUAAAUAAUAACCUAGUCUUGUAUAUUGAAAAAAAUAUUUUUGCUUAUAGUGAUAAUGCAUUAUUUUCAACUCAUAAAAUCCCAUUGAGGAGUUUUCACGGAGAACCAUUGUAAUAAGUAAAUUUAUUAUCAAUGAAUAUUAUAGUUGUAAUGUUAUAUAUUGCUAUCUAAAUUUUUAAAAAUAUAUUAUACUUUAAAUAGGGGUUUCAAUUAGAUGCAUACAGACGCACUCUAUAAAUAGCACAAUUAUACAUGUGGCAAGCUCCCAUUUGGAGUUUAUAGGGCCCACAAUACAUUUUCUCAAAUGGGGACUUAUGAUACGAGCAAUCGCGCAUUCGAGUCAUGUUUGAUUUUAAAUAUGCCCUGGCUCAAUCAAAAUCCUGGCUACGUCCCUGCCCAUAAACUAUAUUUAAUUUCACAAAUAAAGUUCAAAAACCACGACGCAAUCUUAUGUAUCAAACACACACUUAGUCGAUGAUCUAUACGGUAUCUUUAAAAGAAUUGGAAUAAAAUUCGAAAAUGUAAAAUAACACAUCAGUUUGUCCAUCCGUUCCGUUCUAAGUUCUAACCCCCCCCAAUUUAUUAAUUUAUACAUCCUGUUCAAAGUUCAAUAAGUAAACGUACGUCCUGAUUAAUGUCUUUUUGUCACCAGCAGAAAACAUCAUUAUUACGUAAAUUAGUCAAUAAAGGAGAGUAUCUCUAAAGAGGAUUGGAAGAAAGAACGGCUGUUGUUGUUUGAUUAAAUGAGUCGAAACAAGAUAAAGGAAAACAAAUGUGCAAGCAUACUGAAUUAAUUUUUGGAAAGAAGCAAGACAGUAAACAAUAUGAUAACAAAUUAAUUAAUUAAGGAGCUAACGAUAAUCUACUAUUCUAGAGUAAACAGUAUAAUUGACUAAUUUGGCGUCUCUGUGUAUAAAUAAUUUCAACAGUAGUUCUCUAAUGCUUGACCAAACCGUUUGCUCCGGAAAAGGAAGGGUUGAAGUUCACGUAUUAUAUUAAUCUCUUCGUUGCACUUGUCAAAUCCUGUAAUUGUCCGAUAACGCUCACAAAUUUUUUAUACUAACGUUGAAUUCUCCUCUUCGUUGUAUUUAAUAAUCUCAAUAAAUUUCAUUUUUCAUGCAUCCACAUCAAUCCGCCUUCUUUGCCAGAAGUUUCCAGUUUCAUCUACCUCUAUUCCUAAAUACCAGAUGGCAAAAGCUUGUCUUUCCAUUCUUGCUGAAGCAUUUUUAGUGUACUAUUUCACUUUUGGAAUCGCUCAUGCAGUCACCAACGUCGGCAGAGACCAAUCAGCUCUUCUUGCCCUGAAAGCUCACGUCACUAAUGAUCCUCUCAAUGUAUUGGCCUCCAACUGGUCCACAAACACUUCUGUUUGCAACUGGUUUGGUGUCACUUGCAGCCCCCGUCACCGCAGAGUCACAGCUUUAAAUCUUGCUUAUAUGGGUCUACUAGGCACCAUCCCUCCGGAGCUUGGAAACCUGUCAUUCCUUAGUUUGCUAAAUGUCACAAACAAUAGUUUCUCUGGUACUCUUCCAAUUCAGUUAUCUAAUCUGCGCAGGUUAAAAUAUCUUAGCUUUAGAUCCAACAACUUCAGCAGCAUAGAAAUUCCGCCAUGGCUGGAUUCUUUCCCUAAACUUGAACACCUGUAUCUAGAUGGUAACAGUUUCAUAGGAACAAUCCCACCUUCCAUUUGCAACAUAUCUUCAUUGCUCACUCUUGAUCUCAGCUUUAACCAGCUUCAGGGUCACGUGCCAUCCUCGAUCUUGAACAUACCUUCACUGUUGGCUAUUGAUCUCAGUAACAACCAGUUUUCAGGUCCCAUGCCCUCCAUCUACAACACAUCUUCAUUGCAAAACAUUGAUAUGCAGUACAACAGCCUGGCCGGUGCCCUCCCUGAGAAUAUGUUCAGGUUUCUUCCCACUUGGAAGAGCUUCAUUUGGCGUAUAACCAGCUUUCAGGACAAAUCCCAUCAACUUUAUUUGAAUGCAAACAGCUAAAAAUUCUAUCGUUGUCCGUCAAUAAUUUCAUAGGAAGCAUUCCUAUAGAAAUUGGGAACAUAACCAUGCUCAAGGGACUAUAUCUCGUCUAUACCAACCUGACAGGUACGUUUUAGGUUUUUCUAUGGGUGUAAUUAUGAGUCUCCACUGCGCUAGAUCAAGUUCAAUGGCGAAGCUAUCACUAUUUUUUUAGGUGGGCUAUAUUUUUUUUAAAUUCAAUUACUUCUCAAAAAAAAAAUUUAUAUACAAAUGAAAUUAUUAAAAUAUACUAGACAAGUAAAAAACUAAUAAUAAAACUAUAAAAGUACAAUACAUAAAAAAAAAACACUAUCGAUAAAAUUUUAUCCGAUUCUUCAAAAAAGAAAACUCAUAUAUUAUCGUAUCUGAAUUAUAUUGUGUGCAAUAAUAAUACAUUAGAGAAUUAUUAAUUAUUUUAUCAAAAAUAUUUGACAAAAGUAUAAGCUAAUAACUAAUUUAAAAACAGUAUGAGCAUCCGAGUGCAGCAGAAGCUGACUGUCACUCAUGAGGUGGUAACUUGAUGACUUGAACAGCUGACUUUUAAAGAAUUUAAACUUUGGAUAAUUAGAUCAAUUAGUCAAAAAUUUAAACAAGUUUUUAUAUUUUACUAUAAGUUCUUAAAAAGAAUAAAUUUAUAAUUAAUUAAUUAGUUUUUUCAAGAAACUAACCCCGCCUACAGCCAGGGUUAAGCCUUCUUUAUAGCUUUGCCCUGAUCGAGUUAAACAACAAUUAGAUGCUUUAGAAAGGUAUAUGGAAGAUUCUACCUAGGAUCGUGUUUUAAAAAUAUCAAACAAUAAUUUGAUCUCUUUAUGAGAUCAAAUUAUACCUAGGAUUGUCCUUUUCAAAUUUUGUCAGAAUUGAUCUUUCAAUUACUGAUGAGUGUGUGAAAUGGAUAUAAUAAUUUUUUUUUUUAAGUCAAAAUUUGGGGGGCAGUCUUAUCAACUUGAAUUAACAGACUAAUAAUUUGAUCUCUUUAUGAGAAAGUCUAAAUUUGUUCAUUGUGCGUAUCACAUCAGCCGUGUGACAAUUUAAUAGAAUCCUAAUAUACAUGUAUACUUUUGUUAUAAAAAUUGCAAUCAUGCAUGGUUACAAAAAUCGCAAUAUUUAUACAAAUACAUACCCGCUUAUUCAUAUGUUUACUUUUAUUGGGUUUGAUUUUAUUGGUAGAUGCUUUUGUUCUUUCUGCUGCCCUGUUUGGUCACUUCUGUGAGAAGGGACUUGGAGCAUUUAGAUUAAUGCACCAUUAUUCAUGACGUGGCAGGUGAAAUACAAGGUCUGCAAGUAUUAGCUUUAUCAAGUAAUAGACUUACUGGUGUUAUCCCGCCCGAAAUCAUCAAUAUUUCCUCGUUAACUGUCCUUUCACUAACUGCUAAUAACCUCUUAGGCAAUCUCCCGUCAAACAUUGGCCAUUCGCUUCCAAACCUGCAACAACUUAUCCUUGGAGGAAACAGACUCACUGGACCUAUCCCUAGCUCUAUCUCCAAUGCUUCUAUGCUUACUCUCAUUGACAUGCCCUAUAACUUAUUCUCUGGCUUCAUUCCCAACUCACUUGGUAAUUUGAGAUACCUCCAAUGGCUCAAUUUUGGGGCAAAUAAUUUGAUAGCUGUAUCUUUUGGCUAUGAUGAAGUGGGGUGGGGGUGGGGAGGCCUAUCCCAUUCCCCACCCCGUUAGAAAUUUUUGCCUCCAUUCCCCACCCCAUUCCCCAAUAAAUUUAGUGGGGUGGGGAUGGAGAAUCCCCAUGUAGGGAAUGAUUUCCCCAUCCCCACCCCAUCCCUCAUUUAUCUAUUUUAUAAUAUGUAUAAAUAUAUUAUUUUAGUAAGUUAAAAAUUAGAGAUUUAAAAUAAAAUCAUCAUCAUAUUAUAAAGUAUUUAAAUUCUUUUAAAAAAAUAUCUAAAAAUUUGAAACAAUAUCUUAAAAUGAUAUUAAAAGUGAAAAAUAUUUAAAGAGCGUAGCACCUUAAAAAAAAAAAGAAAAUAUAACAAUGUUUCAGAGUUGAAAAAUAUUAUAGGAUUUUCUUUCAUUCAUAUAUAUUAUCGUAUCUGAAUUAUAUUGUGUGCAAUAAUAAUACAUUAGAGAAUUAUUAAUUAUUUUAUCAAAAAUAUUUGACAAAAGUAUAAGCUAAUAACUAAUUUAAAAACAGUAUGAGCAUCCGAGUGCAGCAGAAGCUGACUGUCACUCAUGAGGUGGUAACUUGAUGACUUGAACAGCUGACUUUUAAAGAAUUUAAACUUUGGAUAAUUAGAUCAAUUAGUCAAAAAUUUAAACAAGUUUUUAUAUUUUACUAUAAGUUCUUAAAAAGAAUAAAUUUAUAAUUAAUUAAUUAGUUUUUUCAAGAAACUAACCCCGCCUACAGCCAGGGUUAAGCCUUCUUUAUAGCUUUGCCCUGAUCGAGUUAAACAACAAUUAGAUGCUUUAGAAAGGUAUAUGGAAGAUUCUACCUAGGAUCGUGUUUUAAAAAUAUCAAACAAUAAUUUGAUCUCUUUAUGAGAUCAAAUUAUACCUAGGAUUGUCCUUUUCAAAUUUUGUCAGAAUUGAUCUUUCAAUUACUGAUGAGUGUGUGAAAUGGAUAUAAUAAUUUUUUUUUUUAAGUCAAAAUUUGGGGGGCAGUCUUAUCAACUUGAAUUAACAGACUAAUAAUUUGAUCUCUUUAUGAGAAAGUCUAAAUUUGUUCAUUGUGCGUAUCACAUCAGCCGUGUGACAAUUUAAUAGAAUCCUAAUAUACAUGUAUACUUUUGUUAUAAAAAUUGCAAUCAUGCAUGGUUACAAAAAUCGCAAUAUUUAUACAAAUACAUACCCGCUUAUUCAUAUGUUUACUUUUAUUGGGUUUGAUUUUAUUGGUAGAUGCUUUUGUUCUUUCUGCUGCCCUGUUUGGUCACUUCUGUGAGAAGGGACUUGGAGCAUUUAGAUUAAUGCACCAUUAUUCAUGACGUGGCAGGUGAAAUACAAGGUCUGCAAGUAUUAGCUUUAUCAAGUAAUAGACUUACUGGUGUUAUCCCGCCCGAAAUCAUCAAUAUUUCCUCGUUAACUGUCCUUUCACUAACUGCUAAUAACCUCUUAGGCAAUCUCCCGUCAAACAUUGGCCAUUCGCUUCCAAACCUGCAACAACUUAUCCUUGGAGGAAACAGACUCACUGGACCUAUCCCUAGCUCUAUCUCCAAUGCUUCUAUGCUUACUCUCAUUGACAUGCCCUAUAACUUAUUCUCUGGCUUCAUUCCCAACUCACUUGGUAAUUUGAGAUACCUCCAAUGGCUCAAUUUUGGGGCAAAUAAUUUGAUAGCUGUAUCUUUUGGCUAUGAUGAAGUGGGGUGGGGGUGGGGAGGCCUAUCCCAUUCCCCACCCCGUUAGAAAUUUUUGCCUCCAUUCCCCACCCCAUUCCCCAAUAAAUUUAGUGGGGUGGGGAUGGAGAAUCCCCAUGUAGGGAAUGAUUUCCCCAUCCCCACCCCAUCCCUCAUUUAUCUAUUUUAUAAUAUGUAUAAAUAUAUUAUUUUAGUAAGUUAAAAAUUAGAGAUUUAAAAUAAAAUCAUCAUCAUAUUAUAAAGUAUUUAAAUUCUUUUAAAAAAAUAUCUAAAAAUUUGAAACAAUAUCUUAAAAUGAUAUUAAAAGUGAAAAAUAUUUAAAGAGCGUAGCACCUUAAAAAAAAAAAGAAAAUAUAACAAUGUUUCAGAGUUGAAAAAUAUUAUAGGAUUUUCUUUCAUUCAUAUAUUGUUUAUGUUGCAUAAAAAUUAAAAAAAAAAUUAUUAAUUGACAUUAUAAUUGAUAAAAUAAAAAUUAUUAAACAAGAAUUAAAAAUAUAUUUAUAUAUAAUGGGGAUUGGGGUGGGGAGUACAAAACCAAACCCCACCCCAUUAAGAAUUUGGGGAUUAUUUUCCCCCCACUCCCCACUCCAUUCCCCAAAAUUAAUCAAAAUUUUUUCCAUUUGGGGUGGGGCUCCAUGGGGCCCAAACCCGUGGAGGAUUUUGCCAUCCCUAUGAUGAACUUGGCUUUCUCACUUCUUUGACAAAUUGCAAAGACUUGAGAAAAUUAAUUCUGUCAGAGAAUCCCCUCAGCGGUGUCCUGCCAAUUUCUAUUGGAAAUCUCUCAAAUGCUAUGGACGUGCUGUAUUUAUCUGCUUGCAACAUUAAGGGAAGCAUUCCAUCAGAAAUUGGCAACUUAAACAACUUGACAACAUUGCACCUGGAGACAAAUGAACUCACAGGAUCCAUUCCCAAAGCAAUUGGAAGAUUGCAAAAGCUCCAAGGUUUGUAUCUUCAGCAUAACAAAUUACAAGGAUCAAUUACUACUGAUCUUUGUGGUUUGCGGAGUUUAAGUGAAUUCUACUCGGAUGGCAAUGAGCUAAAUGGGUCGCUACCGCAAUGCUUAGAUAGUCUCAUUUCUCUGAGAACCCUUUCACUGGGAUUCAACAGACUGACUUCUGUAAUUCCCUCAUCUUUGUGGAGCCUUAGAGAUAUCCUGAAUGUCAACUUGUCAUCAAAUUCUCUUAAUGGAACUCUGCCAGUGGAGAUUGGGAAUUUGAAGGUUGUGACAAAAAUAGAUUUAUCAAGAAAUGACUUGUCAGGUGAAAUCCCAAGCUCAAUUGGAGACCUAAAGAAUAUGCAGCAUCUCUCCUUGGCGGAAAACAAAUUUCAAGGCUCAAUUCCUGAUUCAUUAGGCGGCUUGACUAGCCUGAACUUCUUGGAUAUGUCUAGUAAUAAUCUAUCUGGAGAAAUCCCGAAUUCGUUGAAAGCACUCUCGCUUCUCAAGUUUUUAAAUUUGUCUUUCAAUGGACUGCAAGGACAAGUUCCUCACGGAGGGCCAUUUACAAAUUUCUCAUCUCAAUCGUUCGUGGGAAAUAAGGGAUUAUGUGGUGCCCCCGAGCUGAAAUUCCCUGCUUGCAAAGCCAAAAGUAAUAAGAUAGCAAGGAAAACCCAUAAGAAUAUAUUUAUUUAUGUUUUUCCAAUUGCUGCAUCAAUAUUACUCGUUCUGUCUCUUUCAGUUGUGCUUAUCAGAAGACGAAAAAGAAACACUGGAUUGCAAAUUGAUGAAGAAAUGUCGCCUGAAGUAACAUGGAGAAGAAUUUCAUACCAGGAACUUUUUCGAGCAACAGAUGGGUUUAGUGAAAACAAUCUACUUGGUAAAGGGAGUUUUGGUUCGGUUUACAAGGGAACACUCUCAGAUGGGAUGCAGAUCGCAGUAAAGGUAUUUAACCUUGAGCUUGAAGGGACUCUUAGAAGUUUUGAUGCUGAAUGUGAAAUUCUAGGAAGUAUUCGCCAUCGUAAUCUUGUCAAAAUCAUCAGCACUUGUUCAAGUGAUCAUUUUAAAGCAUUGGUAUUAGAAUACAUGCCUAAUGGCAGCCUGGAGAAUUGGAUGUACAAUAAGAACCGCAGUUUCGACAUUCUACAAAGACUGAACAUGGUGAUUGAUGUUGCUUCAGCGUUGGAAUAUCUUCAUUAUGAUCACCCCACUCCUAUUAUCCAUUGUGAUUUAAAUCCUAGUAACAUAUUGCUAAAUGAAAGCACGGUUGCCUGUUUGAGUGAUUUUGGCAUUUCGAAGCUCUUAGGUGACGAAACAUCUAUGACUCAAACGCAGACUCUCGCUACAAUUGGUUAUAUGGCACCAGGUUUUUCAAAUUCAAAACUUUUGCUUGCUGUUGAGAUUCCCAUGUUAUUGACUUUUUUCUUUUCCUUUCAAAAGAUUAUUGAUUUAUCUAACGAUGUAAUUCAUAUUAUACACAGAGUACGGAUGAGAAUGGAAACUAUCAAGAAAGGGAGAUGUUUACAGCUAUGGCAUCAUACUGAUGGAAACUUUUACGAAGAAGAAGCCAACUGAUGAAUUGUUUGUCGGGGAAAUAAGCUUGAAGAGUCGGGUUAAUGAUUCCUUGCAUGGUAAAAUUAUCAAUGUUGUGGACAUCAAUUUACUGCAAAAAGAGGAUGCGUAUUUGACAGCAAAGGAACAGUGUGUAUCAUCAGUCUUGAGUUUGGCUAUGCAAUGUACAAGAGAGUCUGCAGAGGAGAGGAUCAACAUAAAAGAAGCUUUGACUAAACUUCUGAAAAUCAGAAACACGUUGCUUACAAAUAUAGAAAAUUCAAGUGAUAAAAGGUAUUGUAAUUAAAAGUUAAUUUUCUUGUAUUUCCAUUGCCCAUGAACUAAAAUCUCAUGUGAAGAAGAUCCAUUAGAGUAUUCAGAUAAAGCAGAUAUCUUGUUUUCAUAAGAGAUGGUUCUUGUUUAUGCAUGUCUCAAUUCCAGCUCUUCUUUACUCUGUUUUCACCUUAACUCUUAUCGUCAAUAGUUCUAUUACAUGUUUUCGGAUGGCACUAGAUUCUAAUAUCUGCUUUCAGCAACUAUCUGUUUAAUCUGACUAAACUGUUGACAGUGGACAUGCAUGAAUGAGGAAUGAAACAACGGUAAUGUCGUGCAAACAAGUAUGGACGUGAUAUGUUUAUCUUGCUUCUAUUGGAGACGAUUCUUCAGAUCUAGCUGCUAUCUCUGUUUUCCUCAGUCAUGGAUCUCCUUUUAUUAUUAUUUUUUUAAGAGAAGAAAGAAGACUAAGUGCUAGACCUCUUACUUACUACAAAAAGUCCAGUAAAAUAAGGUCAUGUUUGUAUUAUGAUUGGACAUUUGUAACUUUUAAAUUAUAAUUUGCUUGAUGUAGUUUUGAAGCUUAAUCAAAUUUAUUUCAUAUAUAUAUUUAAAAAUUUUUAUAAUAUUUUAAUAUUUUUGUUAAAAUUAUUAUUUAGAAGUCAUACUUACCACAUACUAUCAACUUGUAUUUCAAUACCAAACAAAGCAUAAGCUAUACCUCUUAUAGUUGAAUUGAGCUUCGUCCAUUAUUAUCAUCGCUCCUUUAAUUAUCCUUGUCAAAAGAGGAUGAAACAAUACGGUUGAGAUGAUCCAUUUGUUUUAAUCUCUUAAUUUUAAGAACCCUAUAGAGCAACAUAUGGGUUCAGUGCUCACAAACAACUCGGGAAAGGGUGCUGGUUCUAUUUACAAGGGAAGACUUUAGAAUGGGAAGAGCUUGAAGUAAAGGUGUUUCACUUGUACCUUGAAAGAGCAUUUAAGAGCUUUGCUGUUGAAUGUGAAGUAAUAAAAAGUAUUCAUCAAUCAAAACAUCGUCAAAAUCAUCAGUAGUUGUUUAAAUGAACAUUUAAACGUGGUGCAAAAGUACUUGUCCAAAGGGGGCUUUAGAGAAUGGUUAUAAUAAUUAUUUGUUUUCCAGAUAUAUUACAAAGGUUGAACAUCAUGAUAGAUGCUACAUCUGCUUUACAAUAUUUCCGCUUUGGUUAUUGAACUUCUUAGUUCACUAUGACUCGAAGCCCAGUAGUAUUUUACUAGAUGAAAAACAUGGUCACUUGUUUGAGUGAUUUUCGCAUUGCAAAGUUAUUAGCCGAAGAAGCCAUUGUGACACAAACAGGGACCUUUGCCACCAUUGAUUGUACAUCACCAACUAAUUAAUUCCAAAAAAUUACGCUUUGUUACAAGCUAGAUCUCUUUUGAUUGUCAAAUGAAGAUUAUUUGUUUAUCUUGAAUGAAACUGAUAAAAAUCAGAGUCAAAUUUCUUGUAAAUAAUGGUACGGCAGAAGGCGGUCGAAUGUCAAUUUGAUUCCUUUUCUUUCUAAUUUCUAUGCAGCAUCUUGCUUUCAUGGGAGAUGGUUCUUCUUCAAACCUAGGUGCUAGCUCGCUCUUGCCUUGUUUUACUCUUAUUUUAAGACAGCUACUGCAAAUAAAAUAUCGAUCAUACCAUAGUGAAAUAUAAUCUAAUUUUAAUCAUAAACUAAAAUAUCAAUCACAAUAUAAUCUCUGCUUUGACCUUAUUCUAAUUUGCUUUCUUAUGAAGAAGUAAUGAUAUGUUGGCAAACUUUUUGGGAAACAAAGGUGGAAUGCUAUCAGUUCAAUUUUUUUUUUUUUAAUUUUCAACAAUGGUACUUUUAAUCCGUUUUAUUUAUUUUCAAAUGGCCUUAUGUUAUUGUGCUUUCCCUUAAUUUUAGAUAUUAUUUCAUUCAGGCACUAUUAUUUAACUAGUUUAUGGCUGAGUUAUAAAUGGUUAACUAAGUAAUUUGGUAAAACUAAACUGCAGACAUGUUAAUUUUAGAGUCAAAUUGCUUGCCAAUUCCAAAAAGGCCGGAGAUAAUAUAAAAGCUGAAAGAUUUAGAACAAUUUUCUUCUCUUAUUGUUGAUGAUAAAUGUUAAUUCAUGUUACAGAAAACGCUUUCACUGUAGAGUCUGGGAGAAUUAUUAUUAUUCCAUAUCCGUACAAACUGAUUGAAUAAAAAUGCAAAAGCCAAUUGCAAUUAAUGGAAGUAAUUAAUGUCCGCAAUCAUAUGUUUCCGCACAACAACAAUAAUUUUUUUAUUAUUAUUUACUGAAAAAGAAAAUGGAUAACGACCUGAUUUAUUGAAGCCCUGCGGCCGUGGUUAAUACUCAAUCAAGUCGAUCACAUGCCUAUGCAAUCCGCAACGAGAUUUAAGAGGAAUGGAGUUUAUUCAUUAUAUUAAUAAUUUUCAUUAUUCCUGUUCAAUGAAAAUGUAAAUUUCGUCAAUGUCACGUAACAAGAGGAUGAUCAAAAUUUAAGACGUGUUCUCGUCUUACCGCCAAAUUGACAAAGCCACGUCAGUUUCAUUUUUCAAUGGCAGUUUCAGUUUUGUCACAAAUGUCUUGUUCUUUCUUUUCUAGUUCAAAAACUUGGGGUUCCGAAUUGGGCAGAUAGCUGGAAAACGAUGGUUUGUUGUGUUUGGUGGUGAGUUGUUGUUAAUGACAUGGAAUCUUGUUUUCCAAGGUUAGUUUGUAUUGUGUUUUCAUAUCUUACUUGGGUUUCACUCAUCUGCUUAUACAAAUCGCUGUUACCUACUUCUUAGCUUCAGUUUGAAUUCAUGCUGUUAUAACUCCUUAUUAUUUUGUUCAACAUAUCUCUCAUCGUGUAUGACAUUGUUAUGGCGGUUGUGUAGUGUUGAAUUCUUGUUACUUGAAUUUUCUGAAGAAAUUUGUUACGGUGAUUCUGGGAUGAAGGAAUAUCAGAUUAGACGUUCAGAAAAUGUACCUGCGAGUGAUCCUUCUAUUGGGAGGAGAAUGUCAGGAGGAGAUCAUAAUUGGAAUUCAAAAGUCGUUCUGCUUAAUGGGUUGAAAAGUGAUUCUGGCAAGUUUAGCUCUUCUUGUAAGGGAGCCCAUGUGGGGAAAAGGCAUAUGUGGUUUCAUAAGAAUGUUAGAUCUAUUGCUUAUAUUUUCGUAUUGGUGGGUUUCUUUUUCCUGCUUGAUUCUCUUAUGGUGUCAAUUUUUGAUUCCAUAAAUCUUCAGCAUAGUUCAACCUCAAAAAAUUCGAAAGGGCUUAAGGUAGGACUUGUAAUUAUCUAGCCCAAAAUUUUGUUCUGCAGAUAAAUGACAAGCAGCCAUUGAUAAUUGAUUUACCAUUAGUGAUUAAUUGUUAUGACGUUCCACUGCAUGUCUUUGAAGGAUGAUCGCAAGGUCGCCCAUACUAACAAAGAGAAACUACCUGUAAAGAUGUAUGGUCGACUUCUAAGUUUGGCUUCCAGUGCUCUUACAGAGGUUUGCUUCAUAGAUUCCAUGUUAGCAGUACAUUUACAUUCACAGUGCAUGAAUGGUACUCUUCUUUCCCCUCAAAAUCUGAAGCUUUUAAUAUGCCUUAGAAAGAGUUCAAGCCAAAGAAAUCAGAUUUCUGGAAGGAACCAUACAAGCAGGCGUCUUCAUGGAAACCAUGUUCUGACAGAAGACCUCCAAAUCCAGGUAACUAACAGUUCUUGGCUCCAGAUUAAUUCAUGUAAGUAUUCAAAUUAUUGCUGCAUUUACAGUAACUGACAAUUUGAUUAAUUCCUUCAUUUUGUGUCAUUGAGAUAGGGAAACAUGACGAAAGUAAUGGUUACAUAAUGGUGAGUGCAAACGGUGGUCUCAAUCAACAGCGUGUCGCUGUAAGUAUCGAAGCUGCUUUGUUUUAUAUUCUUUUGACCACCCAAGAGAAAAGAAAGAUUUCUUCCAUAUUUAAAGAAACCCAUUUAUGCAAUCUUUUUGUGGCUAAGGUCACCAGUGAUUUUGAUUUCUACAUCAUAGACACCAUUUGUUGAGUUAUUUUCUGUUAGUAGUUAUUCAAGUAUACCCAGCAGAUUUUGAUCGAAUCAUCAUUUUGUGAUUGAUUACCUGCAGAUAAGUGUUUUGAGUGUAGAUUUAUCUACACUCACUCUCUUGCUUUCUUAAUUGCAGUUACACACUUUCGUAACACGUUGUCAUUUCCUGCAGAUCUGCAAUGCCGUUGCAGUGGCAUCUCUGCUUAACGCGACUCUCGUUCUUCCAAGAUUUCUUUACAGCAAUGUAUGGAAGGAUCCUAGGUCUGCUAUUAUAUCUGUUAUUGUAAUGAAAAGUUUUGGUUGUUUGUCAUUUCAUUAAUGUCAUUAUCUGAGUAGGAGAAUAUCCAUUCCAUUUUUCUAGUAUUUCUAUCAUAGGGUGACAAAUAAUAUGGGAAAAAUUGCUGAAUUCAGAAUAAUAGAUCAAAUGCCUGUAGUAUUUUCCACAAUAUACUUGUAGUUGCAGCCAAUUGGGAAAUGUUCAAGCAGUUAAUGUUUCAGCAGCAAAAUGUUCACACCAUGUUGUUUUUUAACGGAACUGCAGCCAGUUUGGUGACAUCUACCAAGAGGAGUAUUUUAUCAGUGUGUUGAAGCAUGAAGUAAAUAUUGUCAAAGAGCUUCCUUCUCCUCUGAAAUCCAUAGAUAUUGAAGCAAUUGGUAGCCUAGUAAGUUAUCUUCUGAGUUUCUGUGCUCAGUUCGAAUCAACAAUGCACACUCCUUUCUAAGAAUAUUGUUUAAAUCAUUUGCCUAGCUUUUUCUCAGAUUACUGAUGCAGAUAUUGCAAAGGAGGCAAAACCCAUUGAUUAUGUUAGAAAAGUACUUCCGAUUCUAGUGCGGAAUGGAGUUGUUCAUUUCCUUGGAUAUGGAAAUCGACUAGGUUUUGAUCCAUUGCCUUCUAAGCUUCAGGUUAAGGACAUUCAUUUAGGUUUAAUUUUGGCAAGAUAGCUAUUAUCUGUGCUUUGUUCAUUUUCAGAAAUUCUAAUCUUGGUGUCAUAUUCAUAUAUAUCUUCUUGAACUUCUUACAGAGACUAAGGUGCAAAUGUAACUUCCAUGCAUUGAAGUUUGUGCCAAAAAUUCAAGAAGCUGCUUCAUUACUGGUCAGAAGGAUUAGGAAGCAUGAUUCUGCUCGCAGUAUGCUAGACAAACAACUGCUAGGAAACUACAUGCCUAACAUUCCCUCCAAACACCAUGAGGUUGCAAGAGGUUCAUAUAGAUAUCUUGCUUUACACUUAAGAUUUGAAGAGGACAUGGUGGCCUACUCCCAAUGUGAUUUUGGCGGAGGAGAAAGCGAGAGAAAAGAACUUCAAGCGUACAGAGAAAUCCAUUUCCCUCUGCUGAUUGAACGCUUGAAGAGCUCAAAGUAUUUGAUUGGUUUUUCAAGUUUUAAUUUUCAUUUGUUAUUCAGUGUACAUAUUAUAGUUUGUUAAUCUGUCUCAAUUGAUGUUUGCAGGCCUAUUUCUCCUGAGGAGUUGAGAAAAUUGGGAAGGUGCCCGCUGACACCAGAAGAGGCAGCACUUCUUCUUUCUGCUCUUGGUUUUAAACAUGGAACUUACAUAUAUCUGGCAGGCUCUCAAAUAUAUGGAGCAAAUUCCAGGAUGCAGGCUUUUACCAGCCUCUAUCCAAAUUUGGUAACAAAGGAAACGCUCCUCACACCAAGUGAGCUUGAACCUUUCAGGAAUUUCUCGUCUCAGGUAAAUUAGUAUUAGCUUAUUCUUUUGUAAUCAUCUAAUACUCCGUAAGUUUCCUGCAUUUCUUUGGGCAAUUGACUUGAAGAUGCUUAAACAAGCACUCUGUGUGCCGCAUUUGAACUUUGGUGUUAAGUAACAUUGUUUAAAUUGCUCUGCAUGCAGCUGGCAGCACUGGAUUUUAUUGCCUGUGCAACUGCUGAUGUGUUUGCCAUGACCGACUCUGGCAGCCAAUUGUCAUCCCUUGUAUCUGGUUUUCGAACUUACUAUGGGAAUGGGCAGGCUCCUACUUUGCGGCCUAACAAGAAGAGGCUUGCAGCAAUUUUGUCAGAAAAUAGCACCAUAAGAUGGAAUGAUUUUGAAGAUAGAGUAAGAAAGAUGAUUGAGGAAGGUCAAAGGGUACGAGUAAGGGGUUUUGGACGAAGCAUUUAUCGACAACCAAGGUCCCCAGAAUGUAUGUGCAGAACUUAGGACAUUCUGCAGCUGAGUGAAUUUUGAGGCGCUUUUACCCUUCUGAAAUUGUUUUUCACUCGGCCACUACUCCCAUGAAGCAUUCCAUUGAAAAUGAAAUUCAAAUGUUGAACAAGAAAUGCCCACCACUAACGUGUCCCCUUUUUUUCUCUGAUACUUCCCAGUUUUUAGUCGAUGAUUCAAUAAGUUUUGAUCAAUGUAAAUCAUUUUUGAUCGACAUUAAAGAUAAGAUUCUCUUAUUUUGUUCAUUUAGUCAUCAGAAACAAUGAUAACCAAUGAUACGAUAGGAAUUUUAGGUGGUCGGUUAAUGGUUCUAGUGUCAUCACAAAAACAAGUUAGAUCCUCUUCAUUAUGGUAACGCUGUCGUUAAGUAAAUCAAACUGGUUGCAAGGGAACAAAGAAUAAAUUAUUGCAUUAAACCCAAAUAAUUCGAGUUAAAUUUACAUAUGAGAUGAAAAUAGGGAGAGAAACCAGAGUCAUCAUUUCUCUGCCAUGCAAAACAUAUCCAUCUCUGUCUCAAGUCUUCUCUGCAGUAGCUCGGAGUUAUCAUUUCUUUUCUAGAAAUGACAGCCUCUUUUAAUAUGACGCUACUUCAUGAUGGAGGGAAGAAACGGUUGAGGUUGAAAGGGAGGGUGUAGAAUUCCUCAUUCCGGGUGUCUCCUUUAAAUGUGCGGAAUUUAACCCACCAUGGCAUGCCUCUGUCUUUGGCACUGUCCUUGUAAUCGAGUGUGUUGUCCAAGAAAACAGCGACAAUCAACGCAACAGUUGGAGAUGAGAAGAAUAUGGUGUUCAGGAAGUCAUUGAACUGGCCAAUAAAAAAGCACAAGUUAAGGCAGCGAUGAUUGGAAUUGGCAAUCUUGACAUACAAGCUUAGCAGUAGCAGAAAGUUUCUCAGAAACUUUAAAGAGUCCGAAUUUUCUUUCUUCAUACAAUUUUUUAUCAGCUGAAAGAACUCUUUGUGACUUAGAAAGGUCUAUAUAUUUAUUAUCUUUAAUUUGUUCACACGUAGAAAAAUUUAUUAAAGCAUGAAAAUUGAAGAAGUCAAGAAGACAAACUCUCACCCAUCCAGCCCUGGUGUGAGCAGGACCAUGAAGAGCCUUGGCAGUGUAUUCUCUGAAGUAUUCAGGAACCGACAAACCUAAGAAGAGGGCUACACCGGUGAUGAAGAGGUUCCUCAUUGAGUUCAUGUUUGUGAAUUGCAAAAAUGAUAGCCCCACAGAAGCUUUAAACAAAAAGGAAUUUAACUGUCAGAUAAAAAGAGAAGACAGGAUAAGACUAAUACCAAAAGUAUCAAUAUGGAGAUCCUGGAACCUACCAACGAGACCAAACAGGACACAGUAUACAGCAGCAAAAAUGGUGAAGGGGAUUGAUGCAAAAAAAGCACCAAACUUUCCUGCGGCAAUUAAGAAAUUCAGUUAACAUGGACAAAAGGAAUUGGGUUAACAUGGAAAACCGUUUCUAGAAGAAAUUGCACAUAAAAAUAUUUGCAAUGCCUUUGCCACUAACCUAGCAUUGAGAAGAAUAUCAUAAAUCCAGCCGAGAUUUGAAUGACCCUCCGGCUCCCAACACGAGUGCUUCCAAGAAGCCCCACAUUUUCUCUGUUUUUUUUUUCUCCAAAUUUAAUCAAGUUGCAUAAGAAAGCGAGUAAUUUGAAAGUAAAAUCAAACAGAAACUUACACUGAGACAGAAGAACCGCUCAAUGUUCCAAAGAGUCCACUCAGUAGGAUCCCAAUUCCCUGCCAGCCAAUACCACGGCUAAGAACGUGGGCAGGAGGUGGUGUGGCACUUGCUAGACGUGAUGCAGCCUUGUAUGCUCCAGUUGACUGUCAAGGCAAACUUCACUCUUAUUAUUGGAGAAAAACUUGAAAUCUGAUUGAAUUUCAACAAGUAGUACCUCAAUCAAUGAGACCAGAACAGCAGCCAUCAUCCCAAAAGCAUGACCAGCAUCAAAGGUAGGAGCUCCCCACUGAAGAGGAUAUGGGAUUUUUAUCCUGUUUGCCGCAAAUUUCAAGGUCAAUGACUCAAUAGGAAAUAUAUUUUGUAUUUCAUUACUAGUGUUCAAGGAGACUUCCGCAGAUUGCAAUGGAUGCGAAAGUACAUGAAGCACACAUAAGUAUCAAAAUAGUCAUUCAGUUCAGAAAUGGCAUUAGACUAGUUUUCUAAGUUAGGAACAGUUCUGGGUCUUGUUCUCUUUAUCGUCAGCAGAGUUACACCUUUUCCCCAAAAGAUGUUUAUAACUUGAAUUCUGUGAUUUAGAUACUAUACAAGUUCCUGCAAGGAAAAUUAGAAAUGGGAGAAUAGUUUUAUCUUUAUCUAUGCAUGGGAAGUGUACUAACCAUGGAGCAGAAGAAAUGAGGUUGGCCUUGUCAGUUCGGCAAUUCAUUUGGGUAAGAUCUGGACGAUGUUUAUAGGCGCCACUGGCUGUCAAGAGGUGUGCAUAUGCCCAAAUCACUGUAAUGGUUAUGAGGAGAGCGAACCUCUCCAUUAUUGGCAAAUGUCUUGUCUUAAAAUUCUUCAGAUACUAUAACAGAAGAACAAAACAGAAUUAGAAGACCUUUUUUUUUUCGGUUUAAGUACAUCAAAUGUUGCAAUAAAUAAUUAGGAUCCAGCUAUGGUGCCACAGUUGUAUGGUACCACAGAUUUGUCCAAAUAAUUAUUCUGAAUUUCCUUCACGCAAAGUUCAAGGUAUCUAGCCACUGACUUGAAACAAAGUGAAAUGAUAGAUUACAUUGUAGCAUGCAAUGUGCAAGCUAAAAUCAAUCUCGAAAACCUCUAUUUUCCUAUUAAUCUGGUAUAUCAAUUCUUCCGUAUGAAAAAGUCUGAAAUUUUGAGUAAUUUUUAUUAAUAAUUAAAAAAAAAAAGAUAAAAACACCUGUGAGAAGGCUAUAAAUAGAAUAAGCAUAGGAAUGCCAAUUUCUACACACCGUCCAACCUGAAAAAAAAAAUGUGAACUACAUCAAAAAUUCUAAUAUUUCAUCUCAAUUUGUGAAAUUACUAGUCAAAAUCAAAAGACUCAAAAAUGUCCAUGGCAUUUGAUAGUUGUUACAAUACCACUGGGAAGCCUCUAUCAAACAGGCCAAAACCCACCAAGGAAAUAACUGGGACCAUUCCAAGUGGGCUGAAAAACCUGUAAUGCACAGUUUAACAGUCAUUUCAUCAAUAAACAGUAUAUAAUAUUGAAAUAAACUUCGGUUAAGAUGAAAGUUGCACCUGGAACAGAUGGCCCACAGCUGACUAUAUCCUAAAAUUAUCUGUAUGCUGGAUGCCACUAUUAGAGCACCUUGCACUGCCCUCAUUGUGUUAAGAAAUCUCUAUAAACACAAACAAGACAAUUAGCGAUUGCUUUAAGGCAUAAUAAAAUUAAUACUCCCCCACAAGAUUAGAGUAUGUGUGAAUGGGGGUGAGCCAAAAUUAGCUUUUAGUUAAUAGUGGCAGCUGACUUAUAAGUGAGUGGCUUUGUGCUUAUCUGUUGUAAGAUCCUUAUGUUACUAUUUAACCGAAGAAAAAAAAGACAAAACAAAAGUCAUUCAAACAUACCCCAGUACAAUUAUUGAACUCGAGUCAAAUACUUAUAUUCCACCACUGGUUUGGCUGGCAUUUUUAAAUUUCUACUCAAUCCUGUAAUAUGUAUUCUAGGUACACGCUUACAAUAGUUAAUAGCAAAGGCCACUAGGUGGGUCACACAAAAAUUGACUGAAGGACUCUUUUUCGCAUCACAAUGGAAUCCAGCUUCAAUUAAAUAAAGCAAGUGCAGAGCUGAGUAUAGACUAACCACAUGAUUAUCCUCAAUACUCGCCAAUGAUGGAUCGUGAAUUAUUGAUAUGAUUGGAACCAUGAAUGCAUAAGAACCUCCAACCACUGUUGGUAGCCUAGUUCCAAACAAUGUUUGCAGAAGUGUAUUGAUCCCUUCAACAAAAAGUAGUGUCUGCACCACUCUCACUUUAUCUCCCUGAACCAUCACAAUCAACAAAAACAAAAAGAAAAAGAAAACGAAAACGAAAAUCAACAAUACAAAUUGUAAAAAAAGCUCACGGUUAAUGUACUUCAAAAUUUUUAAUUUCUUCAAGAUAUCCAUUUUGUUUCCUAGAUCAUGCAUCAGGCAUUAUACUGAAUAAAUAAUCACAUAAUCUGAAGCUUGACUCACGUCGGAGCCCCCCAUCAAAGGAACAAGAAAUGAAGGGAUCAUCACUGCAGUGCCCAACGCCAAAAUGUAAUGCUGGAACCCCAAAGCGAUAGCCUCCCCUGCAUUCAAAUGGAUAAACAGUUAAUAGAAGUGAAAAGAGCUUACAAGCAUACAAAACCAAACUGAAUGACAACGACCAGUUAAAGAUUUGGUAAAAGGCUAAAAAUGGACAUACCCCAUGAAGGGUUGGAAUCAAUACAGUACUCUAAGCCUUGAAGCUGGUCCAUUGGAGGAUGACUUAUCUCUUCUAGUUUUGGAGCUGCCAUGGCUUCACAACUUCUCUCAAGCUUCUAAAUUCAAAUCGGUAUCUACCAGAUGAUUCAAAUGAAGAUCCAAACAGAGAGAGAGAGAAAAAAAAUGGAAGCAGAGAGAGAGAGAGAGAGACACUCUGAAAGCGUUUACGUAAACAAUGAAAAGCUAAAAAACGAAAGAAGACUGAGAAAAAAAAGAAGAAGCAAAGAUAGCGAAAAGAAGCGAGAAAGAUUUGACAGUGCUGUUGCUGCUGACGCCGAUGAAGAGAAAGCACAACAAAGCAAAGCAAUGUGAAUCGCGAAAUUAGGCACUUGCCGCCCACUAAGCUUCACUUUGUAGAGUUUCAUCCCUAUCUACUUUUGAUUUUAUACUAAAGUUGCCGUUAACUUUUUUGAUCUUCCGAAUUUGCCCCCCAAGGAACUUCCAAACCCUAUGUUACCGUUAGCUAGUAAAUUUUACAACUCGACUUUAUUUAAUACUUCUCAGAUUCACUUACCAAACUUACAUAAAAAUAAAAGUGAAGUAGUAAAUAAUUCUUUCUUUAAAAAAAAGAAUGGAAAAAAUUUUGGUCGGACUACGAAUGAGUGCAAUGAAAAAUAUUUAAAUGUAUAAAUUAUCUUGGAUUCGCUAUAUUUGAUUUAACCAACUAUUCGGAUUCAUGAAACAAACAUUUUCUUUCAGUCAGUGAAUGAUGGAUGAUUCAGGGAGACCACUGAAGUAAUGCUUUUAACAAACAUUUGGGGUAUCAUCGCGACCACCUAAUUGAGAACAAAUGGCCCGGGAUCUCAAGAUGGGGUCAAACCAAACUUUUUCUCGACUUUUUUUUUUAUUUUUAAUUUUUUAUGAAUUUCUUUAUUCCUUUUCUUUUCUUUUUGUUUUGGUUUAUGAUUAUCGUGGGAUCGAUAAAUUAAAAGUUAUGAUCACCACCGUCCAUCUCAGUUUAUGAAGAGUGCUUCGGAGGCCUCUCUAUCGUACAGUAUCAAAAUGAACAUUUGGGAACCGAAAAUCAAGUGGUUCAAAUAAAGAUUUGUAGUUUUCAUGAGGUCUGACAACGUGUGAAAGAGCAGUGACUCGAUGUACGAUCUUAAUAACGUCUCCAAUUUGAUGCAAAGACAAGCAGCUUGGAAAUCUGAGCUUUUUAAUUUUAUGAUUUUAUUUAUUUGUUUGAAGAUUUUAGUUUUUUUUUUUUUUGUUGGGUUUAUCUGCAUUUUACAGGUAUAUUUAUAGUAACCACUCAGUUGUGAUUUUUCGGUGCAGUUGCAGCAAUUUUAACGCUAUUGACGGUUCUGCGCCUCUGUGCACCUGCUCACUGCCCAGUGCCCAGAUAGAUUUUCCAAAACAACUUUAAAAAAAAAAAAAAAAUUAUAUUUCGAUUAAAAGUACAUAAAACAAUGUCACCGCAUGUUAGAUUCCGGGGAGAAAAAAAAAAAUGUAGUUUAUUUCAGCUCAAGGUCAUGUUUUUGCUUUUAUGUUAGUUUUGGUCAAGCUAAAUAAAAAGAUGGAAGUUAUUAACUUUUCCUGAAGCAUUUGAGUGAGGGAUGUAGUCAGGAUUUUGAUCGAGCAGGGGUACAUUUAAAAUCAAACAUGACUUGAAUGCGAGACUACGCGUGUGGUAAGUUUUCAUUUGAGAAAUUGUGUUGUGGAUCCCACAAACUCUAAAUGAGAGGUUGUCACGUGCACAAUCGUACUUGUAGAGUGUGUCCGCAUGUAUCUAAUUGAAGUAUAAUACACUUCUAAAAAUUUAGAUAGCAAUAUAAAAUUUUACAACUAUAAUAUUUAUUGAUAAUAAAUUUACUUAUUAUGAUUGUUAAAGUUGAAAACCCCUCAAUGGAAUUUUAUGAGUCGAAUAUAAUGUAUGAUAGUUUAAUUAUCAAUAUAAAAAAAAAAUAUUUUUUAAUAUACAAGACUAGGUUAUUACUUAAUUUAAUUUUAAAAUCUUUUAAUAAUAACAAAAAUAUUCAUAUAUUGCAAGACACAAAGCAAACAUUAAUGCAUGAUAAAAUUAUAGAUUUUAAAACUAGACAAAAGAUUAAUAAAAAAAUUAAAAAUUAGAAUUAGGCAGACUUACAACUUAUGGGUCACUGUUGAAAGACCAAACAAUUGAUUUUGCUCGAAUAGAAAACAAAAAAUUAAAGACUAGUCCAUUAACCAUUAUACUAACAUUUUGUUAUGAUUGUUUUUUGUUUUAAUAUUUAUUCUCGUGUCUUUACUUGAAUUUCAUGAAAUGUUAAUAGCUAAUUAAAUUAUUUAGAAUUAGACAUUUAAAUUAGGGAUAAUAUAAAAUAUUUUAAAAUUACUAGAGUCGCUUUUAAAUUUUACAAUUGAGCUAGGGCAUUUUUCAUAAAUAACAAAUAAAAUAUAAUUUUUUAAUAUAAUCAUCAAAAAAAUUUUAAAAGCCAACCGGGUCCUGUGGUCCCAUGCUGGCUCCGUCCCUGAUUUGAGCAACGGUAUUGUAGAUUUGCCAGUACAUACAAUAUAGUUGAGUAUUUCUGGCAUAUCAGAGAAAAAGAAAUUAUCAAUCAUCCAAUACUAAAGGCUAAAAACACAUGAAGACGUGAUAGUUAGGUACAACGGGGCAAGAUAAUUUUGUCCCGAGAUUAAAAUAUUUUUGUAACAUUUUGCCCACUUUGUUGGCUUAAAAAGAGGUAAACAGAAGGAAUAAAUUCAGCGAAUCCCGCGCCUUUCUUGUUCAAAUCAAAUUAAAAAAAAAAAAAAAUCAUCAUUCAGAACUAAAGCGGUAAGUUGCAUGGCUUCAGAAGAUAAAAAAUAAGUUUCUCUGUAUCUAUUGAUGGUACCAGCGUUGAGAUGGCCGAGUUGGUCUAAGGCGCCAGAUUAAGGUUCUGGUCCGAAAGGGCGUGGGUUCAAAUCCCACUCUCAACAGUGAUUGCAGGUGAAUUAAUUUUUUUCUUAAAAAAAAAAUUCUUGAUUUUUAAUAUCCUUGAUUUGUCGUCGAGUGACGGUAGGCCAAAGGCUGAAUUGGAAUGAGGAAAAGACCAAUGAUUAGAUACCUAAUCCAAGGAGGGAAAUUAAUUUUACAAGCAGCAAGAUAAGAAGAGGGAGAACGUGGGUCCUUCGCCUUCCCUUGAAUAACUGCAUUCCUUUCGGCCAGGAAUUGGAAUGUCCCUACUCCCUACAAAGGAUCUUGACUUGGACGCGGGGAGAGAGGAAACAACAAACAAGUAUCAAUGCAUUCUUUAUAAAACAAUGCUAAAAAUAUCACUUUGUGAUGUCCAAAUCUUUCUCGCUAAGUAUGCUUGUUGUGUGGCAGUUUUCACUUUAUCAAGAAGACUUAAGGUCAACAUUGUACAAGCUGGACAGCAAGAACUUGAAACUUUUUCAACAAAGCUAUUCUUCAAUAACUCCAUCGAAAAGCCAUAGAUCUAAUAUUUUCUUCUAUGCUGCAGAUCGAUACUGGUAAUUAAGUUGGGAAACAGCUGUUAAAAAUACAUACAACGAUAUAUGUCAACACUAUCUCUGAGCAGAGGGACAGAAAAGCAGGCUACUAUAAUCACAAUGACCAUGAAACUGAAAAUCGAGCAUGGGCUAAGAAUUCAAUUUAGUACAAUUUUUGUGAUGUAGGAUUCAGGAAACUGGGAUGAAUCUGAAAUUUGGUGCCGCAAAGCCAUUGCAUGUCUCCAAAAUCGCGAUCAUCUAUUCUCUCCAGGAAGGAUAAUAAAUACCAGUCAAGAUUUUCUCUCCAACUUCCUUUCACUAGAUCUUCUUUCUUCUGCCUCUCGCCGCCUUUGCUGCCUGCAAUUUAGGAAAAACAAAAAGUGAACAACAGGAAUUAGCAUCCUUUAAGAGCUUAGCUGCAAGGAUUUCAUUGCCCAUGACACAAAAUAUUCCAAGAAGUUAAGUCAAUUUUCAAACACAGAAGUAGAAAGUGUAACAACAAAUAUCUACAAAUUGUAUAACACCCAUCCAAAGGUUUACUUUAAUCAAGUUCACUGCAUUAUGAAAGCGGCAGUUUCUCAUGCACACACCUAAUGUCAUCACAACUAUGAAACAUUCAAACAUGGGCCACUAUUAAAAAAUCUACUAAUUAAUACAGAAAGAUGUGUAGGAAUAGUCUUAAUUAAGACUUACGCAAAAGCAGUGUAUCCGGUGCCAGCAUUAGCCGCAGAUAAGAUUGCUGCAUGAGCCCCAACUGCAGAUAAAGAAUCUUGCCCCACAGAAGGUAGGGGAUUUCUACGAUCUCCGUCCACCUGAAAACAAGUUGGCCAAUGAAAAUGAUAUUUAUUGACACCUCUAAUAUUUUACCGGGAACAGAUAUAAGCUGUAUGUGCAGAUGAUAACCUUAUCCCACUUUGAUUUCUUGUUUUGUCUACCAUCCCUAGCAACAGCAUCCGUUGCCAUUGGCACGGACUGCAAACCACUAGCCACUGCAGCUGAGCCACAUGUAAAAUGACAACUCAAUUUAAGAACAGCACUACAAAGUUAUUCAUACCCUGAAAACAGUUCGCUUCGAAAGAAUCUACACUCACCUGGAAUAGGUAUGUUAGGUUUUUGUGCACCAGCAAUUAUUCCAGCUUGGACUCCUCCUGCGAUAAAUUCAACCUUCUGAUUCUUUUUAUUUUCUUGAUCUUUUCUUUCCCUUUCACGCCUCAUGUCAGCUUCUGCAGUAGAAAACAUAAUAAUGUAUGUGGCAGGAAUUAAUAUUUACCCAGCGCAUAAACACGUUCAAGACUACCAUUUUAGGUUUAUGAAAAAAUUUCAACAGACAAGGCUAAUAAUGUGACUACAAGGACUACUGUUAUGAACUGUACAACAUAAGACUCAGAUAUCAGCAGAUCUUUCAUUGCCACAAAGAAGUGUGUGUGUUUGUGCUGAUGAUGGGGAAAAAGAGAGAGGGAGAGAAUUAAAGGAGAAAUUUUGUAGAAGGAACUGUUAUUAACCUAUUUCAUCAUAGUAGUCGCUUUUGUCAUAUCCAUGUGGGUCAAAUACAUCUUUACUGAAGCAAGACCCUAUCUGAUCAAUAUCUUGAUACCUCACAGCAUGCAGCAAAAAGUCAGGGUUCCUAUAAUCCUUUCGAUUGCGGACUUCAGCAUUGAAGCUCUUUCCAAUUCUUUUUAAUCCUAGAAAUUUGUCUAUUUUUCUCUGCAGCAACAGAAUAGAAUGGAACAUCAACAUAUAGUUCAAUUGUUUAUAACCUGUUCCGUAGCAAAUCAAUUUAUUCUUUCACAAAAUACAACAAGCAGCCAUUGCCAAUGAUACUAGAAAGAAAGCCAAGAAAGUAAUGCAUGCAAGCACAAAAACAUAAUUCAUUAUCAAAAGCAGCACUGCAGUACUGCAGUGUAAAGGAAUAUUUUUUCUUUCAAACUACCAAUUUCACCCAAAUAAAACCAAAGGAAGGUUGAUAGCAGAAUAGAUACAUCAAAACUGAAUUGUUAAUUUUUAAGAGAAAAGAUACUUUGGAUGUAUCCAUGGUUGUCCGCAUUAGCGAAUACUUCAAACCAACCAUUUCUUAUUUCAAGUCAAAUUAUCACACACCUCUGCUGAGCGUCUUUUAACUGACCAAAUAGCCUAUGUCACAGACCAACUUAAGGGAAUUCCAACAGCUCACACUUGUAACCAGCUUUAAGAACUGGAGCACAAACACCUCUUAUGAACUAUCUCACUUUUCAGCCUCACCAUGAAAAGACAAUAACAAAUCAAAGUGCCAUCAAAAGUGACUCAUGCCCCAUGAAACCCGAAUUCAGCUUUGAAGUAUCAUUGUGAUCUAAAAACUAGCAAAAGAAAAAGCUUUCAAACAUUCUUUUUUAGUGAAAUUAUGAUUUAUCAACAAAGCCUCAAAAGAAUUCCACAGUAAAGAUACCUUGUUAAGCCAAAAGAUUUAUACUCUUCGUUUCACAUAUUCCUUUCCAUGACUGUCUCAAACUUCUUCAAAGAGACCACAUAACAACUAAAAACCAGAAAGAAGCCCGAAUCCCAAUCAGGAAGGACAAAUGAAUGAAUCUGGCAGCCAUGUGUCCUAUUCUUGUCUCAAAAAUAUUAACAAAUGUUGACUUUUCUGUCAACUAGUAAUACAUUUACUAGGAAUCUAUACUACAGAAUAACCUUUCUACAGUGAUACUCUAUAUAGAAAUAACCUCCAUAUUGUCAUUAAAAAAAUAUGACCCAAUUUGAGCCAGUUAUGAAUAAAAAUAAACUCCACAAAGCAAUAAAUUAUAAGUUUUCUAGAUCCCGUCUCAAGUAACUUGCCUCUACAUGAUAAUUAUUAUUUGUAUAUUGCAAAAAUAUGUAGAUUACAUUAAACAUUUAACAUGGAAGAAAAUUUUUUCUAAAGUUAUUUGAGACAAUGAUUUAUUCUUUAGAGUUGUUACUGCAUUUUUCAACUUGCAGAUACAUAAUAACUCGCUAGUAUAAACACCUUUUUUUUAAGCCAAAAUAUUUCUAUCUUUUCAAGCAUGUUUACAGCUUCAUUGAAUUAACAUGUGCCAUUAAUUAAUUAUUAAUGUCUUCACCUCUAUAUUAUUUACACUAAGGAUAACUAAGUUAAAAUAAUAAUGUUUAAAUGAAACCUCCUUAUAGUAAUAAAAUUAGUUGGUCCCAACAAUAUGACUGUAGAAAGGUUUUACUGUAGUAUCAAGUUUUAUAAGACACCAUAAGAGUGCCAAGAAUUUAAUGCAAAGAGUAGCAUAUGCAUCAUACAGUAGUUCGUAAGAGAUACUAAAAACUACUUACUUGCAGCUCUUCUGAGCACUUGACUUUUGGUGGUGGAGGAAGAAACUUAUCCAAUGGAUCAACUUCUUCCUCUUUAACCUCAAUAGACUCCUCACCUAUCACAGUUUCCGAUUCCAUCAUCGACCAAGCCGUGGCAUCAGGUUCUGAUUUUUCUAAUUGCUCACUUGCUUGGUCAUAUCCCAAAACUGUCCUUUCUUGAACAUCAUCUGCUAAAAAUUAAUUAAAAUAUGCAAGCACAACACUAAAAAAAUCAUAAUUCAAAUCCAAUUUAGAGAAAAAAUGUACAACAAAAGCUAAACUACGCAUGGUGAAUGAAUUGCAAGCAAAUAGACGGAGUACAAAGUACAUAUAUAAUGCUCAAUUAAAGCCAUACAUACCAUGAGCGCGGCGAAGGUCAAUUUCCCCUUCCUGCCAUUAAACAGCACCAUCGAAUUUCCUCGUCAACAAACUUAUCUGAAAAAUUCAAUAUUUGCUCCCGCACUAAAUUAAAAAUAUAAAAUUCAUUAAUAGUACCUCAGGUUCAGGUGACAUGGCAACCUCAUCGUGACCGUAGUCGACGAUAGUAAACCUUCCCCUGCCUCUCCUCCUCGAACCUGAAGCCGCCGGUGCGUCAACAUGAGGCUGCAGCGGCGUGGAAGUCUCGUCACCAGCGACCGCAUCGUCACCGCCGGUCAUUCUCAAAUCUUCUUCCAAAUUUUUCGCCUCUCUAUUUCCUUCGUCUUCUUGAUUCUCAUGCCGUUGCUCUUCUUCUUCUUCUUCUUCUUCCAGGUCUUCCAUCUCCUCGUCGUCUUCGUCAUCGUUGUACAUGGACAGCAGCGCAAUUCCUUCCGCUUGUUUCUUCUUCGACGACAUCGAAUCUAGGGUUUUUUCUUUUGGGGAAAUAUCUGACGUUUGAAUUCAAAUUUUGUUUGAUUUAGAGUGGCAGGGUCUGCACUUCAGCUGAUUCAGUAGGCAGAGAAUCAAGAGAAGAGAAGCAGCGCAAUUGUUUCCGUUUGGGAAUGAAUCGGGUUGAUGUUGAAAGAGUGGGCUUAUGUUUUUCUAUUAAAGACUCGGGCUGGGCCCUAGAUAUAUUUCAGUUUUGGGUGCUGCUAUUAACACCCCCAUUAAUUUUACUCGAAACACCCUUCAUAUAUGUAGGGAUGUCAAUGGGGCAGGUUCGGGGCGGGAAUCAUGAUCCCCGAACCCGAACCCGCCCCAUACCCGAAAAAUUGUAAUGGGGGAUAGUUUGGAUAUAUCCCCAAAAAUCUCUGAAUUGAGCGGGGAUUAAAGCGGGACCCGAUCCUCAUUUUUUAAAUAAUAAAUUCUAAAUAUUUCACUUUAUUUUUUUAUAAAAAUAAUAAUAAAUAUGACAACCUUCAUAUUUAAAAAUAAAAUUACAAAUAAUUAAAUUCCAUAUUAGAAAUAAAAUACAAGUGAUCAAAUUUUAACGACCUCCACAUAAAUAAAAACAUAAUAAUUCUAAGCUUUCGACAUAAUUAUAAAUGAUCAAAUUUUAUACGACAAAUCAAAAUAAUUUUAAAUUUUCAACAUAAACUUGUAGCCAUCACCAUUGAUGCACAUUAUAAGAUUCUUCAUUAACCUAUAACAACAUAAACAAAACAAAAAAAUUAAUAAAAAUAGUUAAUUUUUAUUUGCAUCUAUAAUUUCUAGUUAAGAAAUUAUAUUUAAUGGUUAAGCGUCUAUAAUUUACUAAUUAAGCAUCUAUAAUUUCUAGUUAUAUUUAAUGGUUAAUGAUUUCAUUUUUAUAACUUAAUUUAUUUAUGUUGGUGAAUAUAAACCGCCGGUCAUUCUCAAAUCUUCUUCCAAAUUUUUCGCCUCUCUAUUUCCUUCGUCUUCUUGAUUCUCAUGCCGUUGCUCUUCUUCUUCUUCUUCUUCUUCCAGGUCUUCCAUCUCCUCGUCGUCUUCGUCAUCGUUGUACAUGGACAGCAGCGCAAUUCCUUCCGCUUGUUUCUUCUUCGACGACAUCGAAUCUAGGGUUUUUUCUUUUGGGGAAAUAUCUGACGUUUGAAUUCAAAUUUUGUUUGAUUUAGAGUGGCAGGGUCUGCACUUCAGCUGAUUCAGUAGGCAGAGAAUCAAGAGAAGAGAAGCAGCGCAAUUGUUUCCGUUUGGGAAUGAAUCGGGU